GAAGGAGAGGUUGAAAAUGGCCGAUGUGUCCAUUUCCUUGUUGACCCAAUUUUGUUAACAAUGUAGCUGAACUGGGCCUCUAACUCAAUUUACACUGGGCUUGGGAAUCAAGUUGAGGGAGGUAAUGGUAAAAGUACAAUGGAAGUCCCUUAUUAAGAAUUAGAUUAUAUUUUGUCCUAUUUACUUAAAAAUAAGUAAAUUAGUCCUAUACUUAAAUCAUCAAAGAGUAAACUGGUCUUUAUUUUAUUAAUUUUUCAUUCAUUUUUACUAUUAAAAGUUGAACAUGACUAACAGAAUAAUCAGCACGUGUACCUCAUUCUGAAACCAAUUUUUAAGAGUAAAAUUAGAUUGAAAUUUUAACAGAACAAUGUAGGACUAAACACAGUUAAAUUAAAAUCUUAUUGCAAUAUAAUUAAUUUCAUGUCAAAGCACAUAAAUAUAAAACUAUAUAUUUUAGAUGAUAAACUUAAAUAAUUAAUUAACUUAUUUGUGAAAAUUUAAAAUUUUAACUUUAUUUAUUUAUUCUUUAGAAAUUUUUUUAAAUUUUCCAUAAUUUUUUAAAAUAUAUAAAUUUUGAAAUUUUUUAUAAAUAUUUUAAAUUUUUAAAAAUUAUUUUAAAUUUUUUUAAUAACUUUUGUUAAGGGAAAUAUUGGAACCCACUCAUUGUUUGAAAAGUCAAAAAGGGUGGGCACCGAAAGUAGAAAGUAAAAUUGGUUGGCAAGUUGGGUUAAAAGUUGGCAUGGGAUAAUUGCAAUUUUGGUCCCUAAUUGUAUAGGGACAUUGCAAGUUGAUUCUUGAACCUCAACUAUAAAUAGGCCUAACCAUUUCUUACUUUCUUCAUCCCAUAAUUGACAUUCUCUACUUAAGGCAUUAUUCUCUCUCUCUAUUUGUAAAUUUCACUCGUAAUUUUUGGAGUGAAAUAUAUUUGGUAGUGCCCGAGGACGUAGGCAAAAUUUGCUGAACCUCGUUAAAAUUCUGGUGUUCUUUAUUAUUUGUUUUGCAUAUUUUGUGAAUGUGAUUGUAGUGAUUUAUUGUGCUAUUAAAUUACGAUAGAGAGAUAUUCUGGCUAGGAAAGACUUGGUAUUUAAGUGAUCUUCGUGAUCUACCUCUCUUUCCUGGGAAUUGAACUUAGUGUGAUUUUUCAGUACAAUAAUUUUACUCUUUCACACGCUUCCGCGCAACAAUUGGUAUCAGAGCCAGGUUCGUACUUGGGGAAUACGACCGUUUACGGUACUAUUCACAUAUACGGCACUAUUCACAUAUAUAGUACUAUUUACGUAUACGGCACUAUUCACGUAUACGGUACUGUUCACGUAUACAGUAGUUGGGAUUGAGGAGAAAAAUGGCAGCAGCAUCGUCAUCAGCAAGGACUACUGUGACAAAUGCAAAAUUUGAAGUAGAGAAAUUUGACGGUACCAAUAAUUUUGGUAUGUGGCAAUGUGAGAUCCUGGAUGUCUUAUGUCAGCAAGAGCUAGAUAUAGCCCUUGAAGAAAAACCUGACAAGAUGGAUGACAAGGAGUGGGCCAAGAUCAAUAGACAGGCAUGUGGUACAAUCCGCCUAUGUUUGGCCAAAGAGCAGAAGUACUCUGUCAUGAGGGAGACAUCAGCGAAGAAGUUAUGGGAUACACUGGAAGAAAAGUUUCUAACAAAAAGUCUUGAAAAUAGGCUUUAUAUGAAAAAGAAACUUUAUCGAUUCACGUAUGCACCCGGUAUGUCGAUGAAUGACCAUGUGAACUCAUUCAAUAAAAUUUUAGCAGACUUGCUAAAUUUGGAUGAGAAAUUUGAAGAUGAAGACAAUGCAUUAUUGUUGUUGAAUUCCCUUCUUGAUGAAUAUGAUCAUCUUACCACCACAUUGCUUCAUGGGAAGGACACGAUCACAUUUGAUGCAGUCUGUAGUGCGUUGUAUAGAUCUGAGACUCGAAAGAAAGAUAAAAGAGAUCACAGAGAUACAACCGCAGAAGUCUUAACAGUAAGAGGUCGUUCACACAGCACCAAAUCUGGUAGAAGGGGAAAGUCCAAAGGGAGACCCGCCAAAGAUGAAUGUGCCUUUUGCCGUGAAAAAGGGCAUUGGAAAAAGAAUUGUCCUAAGCUACAAAAGGGCAAGGCUAUUUCUAAUGCAUGUGUAGCGGAGCAUGAUGAGGAGUCAGACUUUAGCUUGGUUGGCAUGGAAAUGGCAUGUCAAACGGAUGAGUGGAUUUUGGAUUCAGGAUGUACUUACCAUAUGUGUCCUAAUAAGGACUGGUUUUCUAGUCUUAAAGAGCUAGAAGGUGGAAUUGUUCUUAUGGGCAAUGAUAGUGCUUGUAAGACAAUGGGAGUGGGUACAGUCCAAUUGAAGAAUCACGACGGCUCAAUCCAAGUCUUGACAGAUGUUCGCUACGUACCUAGCCUGAAGAAAAAUCUCAUCUCAUUAGGUGCCCUAGAAUCUAAAGGGCUCACAAUCACUUUGAGAGAUGGAUUACUAAAAGUAGUAGCUGGGCAACUGACGGUGAUGAAAGGCACAAGAAGAAAUAACUUGUAUUUUUUAAAUGGAAGUACAGUUAUUGGAUCAACACAGUUUCUACAAAAGAUGUAGAUUCAGAGGCUACCAGAUUAUGGCAUAUGCGAUUGGGACAUGCUGGUGAAAAAGCUUUGCAGACAUUGGUGAAGCAAGGCUUAUUGAAAGGUGCAAAUUCUUGCAAAAUGGAAUUCUGUGAACAUUGUGUUCUAGGCAAGCAGAAGAGGGUCAAAUUUGGUCCAGCAAUUCACAAUACGAAAGGAAUUCUGGACUACAUUCACAGUGAUGUGUGGGGGCCUACCAAAGUAGCUUCUUUGGGAGGUAUGCACUAUUUUGUUACUUUUGUUGAUGAUUAUUCAAGAAAAGUAUGGGUGUAUCUAAUGAAAAGAAAAAGUGAAGUUUUGGAUGCAUUUCUGAAAUGGAAGAAGAUGGUGGAGACUCAGACUGGUCGAAAGGUCAAACGACUUCGAUCAGAUAAUGGUACUGAGUACAAAAACGAUCCAUUUCUACAAGUAUGCCAAGAUGAGGGCAUUGUGCGACACUUCACUGUUCGGGAUACACCACAGCAAAAUGGGGUGGCAGAACGAAUGAAUCGAACUAUACUGGAGAAAGUUCGAUGUAUGUUGUCCAAUGCUGGAUUGGGCAAAGAAUUUUGGGCUGAGGCAGUUACAUAUGCGUGCCAUCUAAUUAACCGUUUGCCAUCAGCUGCAAUAAAUGGAAAAACUCCUAUGGAGAUGUGGACUGGUAAAUCUGCUACUGAUUAUGAUUCUUUGCAUGUAUUUGGUUCCACUGCAUAUUAUCAUGUAAAAGAAUCUAAGUUAGACCCAAGAGCAAAGAAAGCAUUAUUCUUGGGUAUAACUGAUGGAGUAAAAGGAUAUCGUCUCUGGUGUCCUGAUACAAGGAAGAUUAUUUUUAGUAGAGAUGUGACUUUUGAUGAAUCAACCAUGUUGAAGUACAAGGAUUCGCAAAAGGAUGACAAAACCGGUAGUACUUUGCAGCAGGUGGAGCUUGAAAAGGUUAACGAUGAUCCAGCUAAUAUUGAAGGGACAAAUGAUGAAGAGGUUCCUACCCAAGAAUCUCUACAGCAACAAGAUUCAAUUGCAUAUAGAAGGCCAAGAAGAGAGAUUCGUAAGCCUGCUCGCUUUGAUGAUAUAGUGGCCUAUGCACUUCCAAUUACAGAUGAUGAUGUUCCUUCUACUUACACAGAAGUAAUAAGUAACCCUGAUGGUGUAAAGUGGAAGCAAGCAAUGAAUGAAGAAAUGCAAUCUCUUCAUAAAAAUAAGACCUGGGAGUUGGUGACACUACCCAAGGGAAAGAAGGCAAUUGGAUGCAAAUGGGUAUAUGCAAAGAAGGAAAGAUUUCCUGAUAAAAAUGAAAUUCGAUACAAGGCUAGAUUAGUAGCAAAGGGUUACGCUCAGAAAGAAGGAAUAGACUACAAUGAAGUGUUUUCUCCAGUUGUGAAGCAUUAGUCUAUUCGGAUUUUGCUAGCCUUGGUUGCGCAAUAUGAUCUUGAACUAGUUCAGCUUGAUGUGAAGACCGCGUUUUUACACGGUGAUUUGGAAGAGGAAAUCUAUAUGACUCAGCCAGAUGGAUUAAAGGUUGCUGGAAAAGAAAAUUGGGUUUGCAAACUGACAAAGUCGCUUUAUGGAUUGAAGCAAUCUCCGAGGCAGUGGUACAAGCGAUUUGAUCAGUUCAUGAAAGGGCAAAGGUACACAAGAAGUAAAUUUGAUCAUUGCGUGUAUUUUCAGAAGCUACAAGAAGGAACUUUCAUAUACUUGCUCUUAUAUGUUGAUGAUAUGCUAAUAGCAUCUAAGAGCAAAGUUGAGAUUGAAAGAUUGAAGACUCAACUCAAUCUCGAGUUUGAGAUGAAAGAUCUAGGAGAAGCUAAAAAGAUUCUCGGCAUGGAAAUAUGGAGAGAUAGAGCUCAUGAUAGAGUUAGCUUGUCUCAGAAGCAGUAUUUGAAAAAGGUACUACAACAGUUUGGCAUGAACGAGCAGACAAAACCUGUAAGUACCCCGUUGGCUUCUUAUUUCAAGCUUUCUGCACAACUAUCUCCUUCGACGAAUACGGAACGAGAAUACAUGUUGCAAGUUCCGUAUUCUAAUGCAGUGGGUAGCUUGAUGUAUGCAAUGGUGUGUACAAGACCCGACAUUUCACAGGCAGUUAGUAUAGUGAGCAGGUAUAUGCAUAAUCCUGGAAAAGGACAUUGGCAAGCUGUGAAAUGGAUUCUAUGGUAUAUUCAGAAGACCGUGGAUGUUGGAUUACUGUUCAAGCAGGAUAAUACACUUGGUAAAGGUGUUAUUGGGUGCGUUGAUUCUGACUAUGCCGGUGGUUUGGACAAGCGAAGAUCAACCACCGGUUAUGUGUUUACACUUGCUGGAGGACCAAUAAGUUGGAAGUCUACACUACAGUCUACAGUUGCAUUGUCAACCACAGAAGCCGAGUACAUGGCUGUAACAGAGGCUGUAAAUGAGGCUAUUUGGUUACAAGGUAUGGCUAAAACCUUGGGGUUGGUUCAGGAGCAUAUUAACGUGUAUUGUGAUAGUCAAAGUGCUAUUCAUUUAGCAAAGAAUCAAGUCUAUCAUGCACGUACAAAACAUAUCAACGUACGAUUCCAUUUUGUGCGGGAAAUUAUUGAAGAGGGGAAAAUUUGUCUUCAGAAGAUCAAGACUGCAGAUAAUCCCGCAGAUAUGAUGACCAAGGUGGUAACAUCAACCAAGUUCGAACAUUGUUUGAACUUGAUUAAUAUCCUGCAAGUUUAACAGUUGAAGAAGGCACUAUCAAGUAUUGUUGUCAAAGGCAGAAAGAAUUGUGUGAAGAUAAGAUUAUCCUAAUCAAAUCUUCAAGGUGGAGAUUAUUGGAACCCACCCAUUGUUUGAAAAGUCAAAAAGGGUGGGCACCGAAAGUAGAAAGUAAAAUUGGUUGGCAAGUUGGGUUAAAAGUUGGCAUGGGAUAAUUGCAAUUUUGGUCCCUAAUUGUAUAGGGACAUUGCAAGUUGAUCCUUGAACCUCAACUAUAAAUAGGCCUAACUAUUUCUUACUUUCUUCAUCCCAUAAUUGUCAUUCUCUACUUAAGGCAUUAUUCUCUCUCUUUAUUUGUAAAUUUCACUUGUAAUUUUUGGAGUGAAAUAUAUUUGGUAGUGCCCGAGGACGUAGGCAAAAUUUGCUGAACCUCGUUAAAAUUUUAUUAUUUGUUUUGCAUAUUUUGUGAAUGUGAUUGUAGUGAUUUAUUGUGCUAUUAAAUUACGAUAGAGGGAUAUUCUGGCUAGGAAAGACUUGGUAUUUAAGUGAUCUUCGUGAUCUACCUCUCUUUCCUGGGAAUUGAACUUAGUGUGAUUUUUCAGUACAAUAAUUUUACUCUUUCACACGCUUCCGUGCAACAGGAAAGAUUAAUGUACUCAUUUUUUAAAUUAACAUAGACCAAAUAGAUAUAUAUACUAAUCUAUUAUUCAAAAUAGACUCAAAUUCGACUUAUUAAAAUUAACUCAUUUUUCGAAUUUUUGAAUUGAAUUUUACUCAACUCUAUUUGUAUCUCUUACAAAAAAAGUAUACGAUAUGAUAUGUUUUACUAUUUACAUAUCUCUCUGUUGGCAAUGGCAUCAAUGGAAGGUUGGUAACAAUCUCAUGUUUGAAGGUUCGUCUUCGAGCUUCGAUGGUGAGAUCUUCUCAAUAGCAAAUGCCAUUAAAUUGAACCGCGAUGCUUCCUUCAACCCUAUCUUUGGUAUCGGCGUUGUUUAGCCAGAAUCAUAUCGAAAUUCUUAUGUUUGAUGUAAUAAUCUAAUAAUAAUGAACUAAAGUUGCAAAAAAAGGAGCUUAUCAUAUCAUAUGCCUGCUAAUUUAUAAUUAAUUACAAUUUGUCUCUAUGAGAUGCAUCUCAUGGAGUAGAUAGAAGCAGAAGGUGAAUCAACCGCGACUGCCGGUGCGGCGUACACCCUAGGGUGAGGAUCAUCACUAUCCCAACCGUACUCCAUCAUCAUCGGACGGUACUCCAUAUCUUCAUCGUGAUCAUACACGAAAUCAGGGACCUCAAUCUCGUUUCUCCUUAUGUGCUCCCACAGGUAAUCCACCCUGCUAAGGUAUCUCAAUUUCCCGUACAACCUAACCAUUAUAGCAUUCCAUGGUUAAAAAAUCGUAUCCGUAAUACUUAACAAUUGGAUUAAAGACUAAAUCCUAAAUUUCAACAUAGUCAGAAGGACUAAAUCCAGAAUUUGACCAUUGGAUUAUUAUGUUAAUAUUACCCGUCACCAAAGAAAAGGCGGCCGAAAGUGGCAAGGAAGAGCCGAGACUGGAGGCCAGGGUGCAGAAAAUAAACGGAUUGGAGAUUAUCUUUGACGGUGACCGGAAUAGCAUCAUAGAUUGAUCGGAGGGCUGAGAUUCCCGGAAAGUUGUCGGUCCUUUGAACUCCGGUAUGCAUGUACAACACCGAAAACGGCUUCUUUGAAAGCCUUGGAAAUAUAUACUCAUCUAAAUACUCUUUCAAAACAUCAACGCUCAAAAACCGAGCUGAUAAAAAAAAAGAGUAAUCAGAAUCAGAAACCUAAUUGAAAUCGAAUUACAAUAAAAGAUGAUAAAAACAUUACCGGGGAAGGACUUUCCGGUAAUGCGAAGAAUCUUGUGGCCGCGUUUAUCUUUGCCUUGGAUCUUGAAAAUGUCGAGUUUGUGAAGGAGAUGGGACUCUGAAAUUUGAGAUGCCAUUGUUAUUCUGUGUAAGCAGUAAAUUUGAAUUAUUAAAGGAUAAAGAUUGAAAUUAUAUUUAUAGAGGAAACUUUGGAUGGGGUUUCAAGGGAUAAAGUCAAUUGUCAUUUUAUGUUUGAAUAAUAAGGGGAAUAUUCUAAAGCAUCUUCCAUUGUGGAGCCAAGGUCGUGAGCUUGACUGGGUCCCUUCUUUUGAAGACUUUUUCGGCUUAAAUUAUGGUUUUAGUCCUUCUAGUAUGCUAAAGUUUUUUAUUUAUUUUUGUAUUUUAGUUUCACAUAAUUUAAUCCCUCAAGUGUUUUUUAAUUCCAUUAAUUAAUGAAAUGAUUAAUGUAUCUAUACAAAAAGUUCAUAUGUGCAUAAUGAGUUCAAAGGGAUUUUUUUCAACAGGUUUAAUUGUGAACUACAUCCCACUACUUUAUAAAAAUUGAAAAUUUAAUCUCUUUAUUUUAAUUUUUUUAUGAAAACUAAGAAAUUAAUUUAAUUAUAAAUGAGCCGUUAAUUUUUGUUAAUUUAUUGUAUAUAAAUUGUUGAACUAUUAAAAUUUACUAAUUCCUUGUGUAUAAAUUGCUUAAUUUUUAAUGUUCCAGUCAGUGAUUUAACAACAAAGUUUAAUAAUAUUACACAAUUAGACCAAAUUUUCAAUUUUUAUAAAAAAUACGAAUCAAAUUCUGACAUUUUAAAAUGAAAUGAUUAACUUCUCAAAUUUCUUUCAUAAAAGAUGAAAUUCAUAAUUAAACUUUUUAAGAAACAAUCCACAUCAAACUAAGUAAUUUCAUUAUAAUAGUAAAAGAUCAAAAUAUGGAUUAAAUCUCGAAUUUAAACAUAAUAGAAGGACUAAAACCACAAUUUGACAUUUUUCCUUCCUUAAUUUAUCAUGAAAAAGGUUGAGAAACUUGAUUUUAAAUUUAAAGUAGAAGAUUAAGGAUUGAAACAAAAUCAAACAUCAAUGUAAUAUAUUGGCUAUUUUACCAAUUUAACCCAAAAAAAUUGAUAUUUACAAAAGUAACUCUAAUUCAAAAACAUUCACCAAAAUAACCUAAAAUGAAUAGUAAAAUUGGGUUAUCGAAAAUUGGCCGGCACCACUUUUUUUAUUAAAAAAUAAUUUUUGGGGUUUUAGACAUUAAAUGGCCGGCAACAUGUAUUUUUUUAAAAAAAAAUUUGGGUGCUGGCACACUGAUGGCCGACACCCCUUUAUUUGAUUAAAAAAAUAUUUUUUGGGGGGAAAGUGGUGCCCCCAACAAAAGGCCAAAAUCACCCAACAAAAAAAAUUAGGAAUAUUGCAACAUAACCUCUCCUUGUUUUCCCAUCUUUUUUAUUUCCCAAGUUUAAUUACAUAUUUUAUACUUUAAAACAAUAUUGAACUACUUAUCAAGAUUUUUUUUUAAUUUUUGUUUUUAAGAUUAAACUAUACUUUAAUGGUUUUCAUCUUUUAUAAUAAUUCAAAUAAAAAUUGUUAAAUUAUUGUUUUUUAUUUUAAAAAAUAAUGAGCAAUAUAUUUUAUAAAAUAUGUAGUUCAAUAUAUUUUAAAUUAGUUUUUAAAUUUAAUAACAAUGUGAGUGAUGCAAUAAUAAUUAAAAAACAUGAUAAGUAAUUCAAUAUUGUUUUAAAAUAUAAAAUAUGUAAUUAAACUUGAGAAAUAAAAAAGAUGGAAAACAAUGAGGGGUUAUGUUGCAAUAUUCCCAAUUUUUUUUGUUGGGUGAUUUUGACUUUUUGUUCGUGGGCAACUCUUUCCCAAAAAAAUAUUUUUUUAAUCAGAUAAAAAGGUGCCGACUAUCUAGUGUCUAAAACCUCAAAAAUUAUAUUUUUAAUAAAAAAAUGGUGCUAGCCAUCUAUUUUCCAUAACCCAAUUUUAAUGUUUAUUUCAGGUCAUUUUGGUGAAUGUUUUUGAAUCAAGGUUAUUUUUGUAAAUAUCAAAUUUUUUUGGGUUAGAUUAGUAAAAUAGCCUAAUAUAUUGCUGCAAAUAAUAAUAAUAAUAAUUUAUUCAUCACUCACCAAAACAAAACUCCAUUCUAGUUGAUCUAAUACUACAUUGUAACAUGCAAUAGUACAUUUAAAAGAGUUGGUCGUCUUGUCUUUGUCAAAUAAAAAAGCCAGUUUCAUUGAUCUUUUACUAGGAUUUUUUUUCUUAUCCUUUCUAAAACCACCUAGGUCCCAUAACCAAAUUGAAGAAAAUGGAUUAAACAACAUUCAAAACAUCUCAUAUCAAACUGUUGGGACCUUGUGGGGGACCAUGUGGUCCAUGUCCUAGAAAUUAGUUCACAAUAACACCAAGAAGAAAAUUUGGCAUUUUAGCCAUUCAUGGCAAGCAAAUAAGUAACAUUUUAAUAAUCAUAAUUAAGGUAACAGCUCCUCUCAAAGUACACCAAAGGUUUCAUACAUGGAUUAUAUAAGAGGGGAUUGAAAUAUCUACCAUUUUCAUACCUUUGUGCUUCCUACAUUUGUUAUAUAGAUCGAAUCCUACAUGCGCGUGACCGAGAGAAACAGACUUUCCAACUUUUGAAAUCUAAGCCAGGGCAAGCAAAUCUUCUGUAAGCUGUACAAAUGCCAGUGUAGAUUAUAGUCUACUUAUUCAUUGAAUUGGAACCCGGAUACCUCGGCAAGUUUUUCCAAUUCCAUCUCUCCACUCAAAACCUGGAAAAUGGUAUAGUCAUAGAUGGUUAUAUGAGAAUAUAGACUAUUCUGAUACGACAUUUAAGCAAAAGAUACCUGUAUUAUGAACAUAUAUGGUCUAAAGAUGAGGAGAAUUACGAAAGGGAAAGGCUUCCUCACCUGACCAUUAAUAACCCAAGUUGGGAAUCCUUCUAAAUUUGCAUCUGCACAUGCCUUGAUCAUUUUUGUUCCCGUCUUAUAUCCAUCAGGAAAGCAUUCAAUGUAGUCCAACAACUUUGCUGCCUCACGUCCAAACAUCUGUUUGCAUUGGUAAGAGAAAUCAAUACCGAUGAACGUCAUACUUACAAAAGAAUCAAAGGCACAAGUAUUCCCAUAAAAUAAGUAAAGGGAAACAGAUGAUCAGUGCAAAAAGUAGGUGAUUAUAUAUAUAUAUAUUUAGCACGGCUAUUCUUAGAGAAAGAAAGCAUUAGACUCAUCUUCCUAAUCAAAUCUAAUAUGAGAAGCCAAGUAUCAUGGCGAAACCAAUAUUAGGCGGUACCUAGCAAUUCUUAUAAGUUCUAGAUGCUCGAAAGAGUAAUGUUAUUCCUAUGGGGAUUGCUGAACAUAUCCAGCUCUUGACUGACAUACCAAAUAAUUUGGUGUUAGUAUGAAAAUGGACAAGGAUUCCAAAGAUACUCAUUGACUUCACAUUACUUAAUUCAUUUAAAGAGACCACUUUCUUUUUGGAAGUCAAAACACAACAUCACUGAAACCGAGCAUUUGUUACAACUGCAACACCUAUGGUCCCUUUUCUCUUUUGACCAAAUCCUUAGUGAAUUCUUAGAAAUUAGAAAUGACAAUAAUAAUCAAUGAGUGUAUCUUAAAGUGCAUUGUUAGAACUUUUAUUUUGGAAGUCACAACACAACAACAUCACUGAAACCUGGCAUUUGUUACAAAUGCAAAUCCACUGGUCCCUUUUUUGGCCAAAUCCUUAGUGAAUUCUUAGAGCUUUGACGAGAAAAUAAUAAUCGGUGAACGUAUCUCAAAGUGCAUUAUUUCUUGACAAUUAGCAAAACCCUGUAUUAAUCAGAGAAUUCGAAGGGUACCUUACAGUUAAGUUAGAACUGCUAAGAGAGAACUAAAAGCAAAAAAGGCACCUCUUUUUGUUCUAGACAGUGAGAACACCAAAAAGCCCCAUACAUCUUAGCUCCUAUAGAAUGUAGAUGCCUUGCAAGAGAAAGCGCAAAAGGACUUGAUUCCUUUGUUAUCUCAGUUGUAAAAUAUGGAAGAUCAAUAUUAGCUUGGCUGUGAAGGCAAAGAUAAAAUGGAGAAAUAAGUAUAGCAGCCAUAUCUAUAGAGAGAGAAUUGAAGAUAAAAGACAGCUGAAAAAAAGAUAUUCAUCCAAAUAACAAAAGAGAUGCUAUAAGCAAUGUACAUCCACUCACCUUGAAGGAGCAGAUGGUAAAUUGCUGUAUGAUGUACUUAAUGUGGCAAAUACCAAGCUUGCUAUGCAUACUUGUAAACCCACCACUUUCUGUACCUCCUGUAACCCAACAUCCUACAAUAGAAUGGAAAAUCCAAGUAUACCGGGUCAUAAGCAUAAAUCCGGAAAAAGCUAUAUCAUCUAACAAAUUGAUACUGACCUUUAGGCUAAUGAAAAAUAAAUUAAUCGAUAAUAAAGCCGACACUAGACAGUAGGAGCAAGAAGUUCCAGCAAAUUUUGUACUCAGUAUGUACAAAAAGUAUGCACUGGCAGUAGCCAUGGAGGUAGUGCUCCCAAGCAAUAGCAAGCGACCCGUCGUUUCGUUGAUCCCAAAAGGUAAGUUCUUCGCGCUCAACUGCAAGCUGAGUGUCGUAACAAAUCCAUAAGCAAUCAGUCCAAGUAAUGGAAGAGAAACACCUGAUAAAUGCAUAAGCACAAAAAAUUAUUAUUACGAUUAUUAUCCACUUUCAAACAUGCUACCUCAGAAAACAUUUUUGGGGUUUCCACAAUCAAAUUGAAAAUUUAUGCCUAGGCUAAGAUUAUGAAAUUAAAGCAUGUAGUAACACAAUUGAAAAUUACGAAUACAGGUUCGUUUCCACAUUCAAGCCAACAACUUUAUAUAUAGAUAAAUAAAUAAAUCUUCAAAAAAAGAAGAAAUUAAAUACCAAAAAUGAAGGCGUAAUCACUGUUGAGGACAUCACCACAACUACCACCACCAAGAGGGCAAAAGGCAUCGGAACCGGAGAGCUUGAGGUAAGUCAAGUAAGCAGUUUCAAUAAUCCCAACGGCACCAAUCCCAGCACGCCAAUUAUACGUGGAAUUGCUCGAAGCCAAUGAACUAGAAAAAGAAGAAGAAGAUGGAACUGACGUCGUUUCAGCUUCUGACUCAGUAUCUUGACUCGGCCCUGAAGAUGAACACUUAAUAGGAAGCACAAGCAAUCUCCGAACCGGCGCUUGCUUCUUCAAAAACACCAAAAAAAAAACCCAGAAUUAGUAAUGAUUAGAAUCAAACAAGGAAAGAGAGAAAGAGAGCAAUGGGGGAAAAGAAAUGUACUUUUAAAUGAACGGAAGAUGAAAUGAAGGCAGGAGAAGAGAUAGGGAGAGAGCAGCGAUACAAGAAUUGACUUUGAGAAGCUGAUAAACCAAUGAAACUGGCCAUUUUCUUUAAUACCCAGAUUGUACAAAGAAGUAACAAGCUCAAUUCAAGAGUCCAUUUCUUAAAAGAAUAAAAAAUCUGAGUCAAGUUCGGAGAUAUCAGCCACACUCGUGUAAGUCGUGAUGCUAUCGCUAGUUGUCGAAAGCUCAAAAAGGUUGAAGAGAAAUGGGGACAAUUUUACCUUCAAAAAGCCCAUAUUGGUUCAUUGGGCUCACUAUUAUGAGCUGAGUGAAUGAAUUUACCCAAAAAAAGUAUACCCUGGCCGUAAUAAAUGACAAACGUCAAGCUAGAUUGGGGCUUAGCCACUUCAUCCACAUAAGAGUCUACAACAAUUUAUUAAAUUCGAAUGGAUUUUGAAUUAGCUAAAUUUGAAUUUUACAAUUGUUUACUUAUUUUGGUUUAAGAUUAUUUUAUAUUUGAAUUGUUUUAGAUUUAGAUAUUUGGAAUUGAAGCUCAAAUUAGAUCAUUACAGUUAAGAACUUUUUUAUAUUAUGGUCGAUUCAAGUUAUUUCGAUCUCGAGCCAAUUUGAGUUUAAUCAAAUUAACUUUAAUCAAGUCUGGGGUCUGAUUGAUUGAAUCUGAAAGAUUCGAGUCCUUGUGUCAUAAAAUUCCAUACAUUAAAGCAUUGACUUCCACCUUUCUUCUUAGCUUGUUUUGGUCCUCUGCAAUUAAUUUAUCUCUCUCAAGUAAUUACCUUAAUUUCUUCUUCAGCUAAUUUAUCUCUAAAGUAACCCUCUUUCAAGCAAAACCGGGACAUCAACCCGGUGUCGCAAAGGUAGUAGCUAGCUUUAUUUCUAGUCUAAGGUUGCUUACUGUUCGUAGGCACUUGUAUAAUGUCGGUGACAGAGCAUUGAUUGAAUGGAGCUUUGGCAAUUUAGAGUUGCACUUAGCUAUGUUUUAAUUCUAAAAAAUUUGUUUAUCCUUUCAGGACUGACAAAGAACUAUUAUUAUCUGCUCUGCAAAUGAACUGAAACCUUUUCUUAUAAAACACCCCCCCUCCUUCCCUUUUUUCCAUGGUCCCUUUGAAGUUUGAGAAUUGCCUGUCGAUGCAAAGUUGGCUACUUGGGAAAAGGUCUCUAAUGUAGCCACCGAUCUUUUAGCUAUUGUAAGCACAAAAUUUAUCAUCCUUCAACCAAUCAUCGGAUGAUUGUUAUCAUCAUAAUAUCCAUUAAUCAGUGCAUUGAAGCUAGCUAAACAUAUAAAUUCCGUCUUGGUCCUUAAAACUCGAUCUAGUCAAUCUAAAUUUGAUCCAAUCUAAUAUGAUCAUAAAAAGUAAACUAAUCAAACCCGUCAACUCAAGCCCAAAUUGGCCCAAAUGCAACUAAACCGAACAUGAAAUGGCUAAACAAGUCACCCGAAGUGACUUGAACUUGAAGUAAUUGGAACUUAAAAUGACCCAAAACUACAAUGAUGAAAUCCUAAAAAGAGAAUCAUCAAACCCAAAAUACCUGAACCUAAAACAAUCCAACAUGAAUUACUCAAAUUAAUCCAACACAAAAUUAUCCAAAACCCCUGAAGCUAGCUAAAGCCUAAAGGUUGGUUGGGAUUGUGCUAGCCGGUGGUAGAAUGCUUCAAACCUGCACACAGUGGUGGGGAUGGAUAAAUAAUAUAUCCAUCGUGCCACGUUCUCAGUCUGACAAGCAUUAUUUGACAAGAAAGAUUAAAACUAUACUAUACUCUCACAAAAUAUGGUGCGCACGGCACAACUCCUUCCUUUAAAAGCGAUCCCUUCUUGGUCCUGCGAAGGUGAAGACAUCAUAUCAGAUCGGAAAACAUAGAAAAAGAAAAACCAACAGACAUUGGAAAGAUGGGCACUGCUAGAAACUGGUUCAACACAGUUAGAAAGAAGUUCAUCAAAUCAUCCCACCAAAGAGAUAUCGUCAUUCCUCAUAGCGAAAAUCUCAGCCAGCAGUCAAUGAUCAAAGAAGUUAGAUACUUCCCCAAUAUUUCACCUUCAUCGAGAUCAUCAUUUCAGACAAAAAAUUUAACCAGAGAGGAUAUUGCAGCAAUUAAGAUCCAAUCAGUUUUCAGGGGUCAUCUUGUAACUACAAUAACUUAUAUUUCUUUUUCAAACACUUUAGAUGUAAACUAACCAUUUCGUGUUCUCUAAUGAUGAACAGGCAAGACGAGCAUAUAGAGCAUUGAGAAGCCUGGUUAAGCUGCAAGCAGUGGCCCGAGGGGCGUAUGUAAGGAAACAAGUACAAAUAGCAAUGAAUUGCAUGCAUGCACUUGUCAGGUUACAGGUCAAGGUUCGCGCCCGCCAACUCCUGGGCAGGUACAGUGAGUGAACGCAGAUGCACCUAGCCAGUGUAACCUUCAUUUUCUACCGACAAUGAACACUGUUUGCUAUAGUUUUAGGUCAUAACCUUUUCUUUCGCAAAGUUUCCAAUACAACAACGAUACGUGUACUCUUUUCACAAGAUUGUAAGCAACAAGAAAAAUUUCGAGUCAUGAUCCAGGAAUCUGAUCAUGAUGAACAGAACUUUUUAGAGGAUCCAUGUUACAGAUUGCAAAAACAGAACAAAUAAAAAAGUCAAAGUAUUAGGGUUUUCACAUAACAGCUUACAGAAAAAAGAAAAUUAGGAACCAAAGAGAGCAAUUGUAACUUAAAUACUGCUAAAAACUGAAUCACUCCCCACAUGCACAUCACUGUACUGAAUAGUUCAUCAUUGCUAUAUAUAAUAUGAUGAAAUACGGACCAUGUAUUCAAACAAUCAUACAUGUAGUUCACAGAAUCCUCUUUACUAUUGGAGUUAAUGGUGUCCCUUCAACAUAGAUGAGAAAAAGCCGCCAGAUGACUUGCUCAUGUGGCGAUCUUCCCCCUUAUCUGCAACCUGUUUCAAUAGUACCAUGCUUAGAAUUGUUUAAUGAGAUAAAACAAAAAGCAAGCCAUAUGAAUACUGUACCUCUUUAACUAUUUGCUGAAGGAUUUCUAUAAUUUCAGAGAAGUUAGGCCUUUGAGUUGGGUCCUGUUGCCAGCAUCUCUCAAGCAGUUCUCCUAGUCUUGGGUGUGUAUUCUUUGGGAUUGUAGGACGUAGACUCUGAAAAGACCAUUAGAUUGUUAUAAGCAAAAUAUCCUCAUUAAAACAGAACGAAAUUUCCGUAUUUUCAUAUUUAUACAAAAAUAUAAGUACCUUUUGCACCACACCAACUGCUGCUUGUAAUGGAGUCAAGAGAGAAUAUGGAAUCUAGCAGUUGCAAUGUAAGAAUAAAUCAGUCAUAAAGAUAUCAAAUCUCAAAUUAUCGUAUUUGUAGAUGAAAGAAAGUUUGCCAUAGACAAGUAUGCACAAUCAAAAACCAAAAUUCUUCCUCAUAAAAUAAUGACUUACUUCUCCUGUCAGUAGCUCCCAGAGUGCUAUUCCAAAGCUAAAAACAUCUGCCUUGUGAUCAUAUGGUUUGUGCUCAAUAACCUACAUUAAUUAAGAUUGAGGAAUGUAAUAUUAGAUUAGAGCCCCUUUCUAGAAUUCAAAUUCUUGUUUGCGUCAAGUGAUAAGUCUACAGUACAAGGUGGCGGAUCAAAUAACAAAAAGAGAUUAAUCAUCUGGAAUAUAAUGGGGUAAAAUUACAUGGUCCUGACAUGGGAAUUAGUUCGAACACCAUAACACGUGUUUUAUGAUCAUGAACAUAAGAUAGCAAAGUGAAUUACAAAAUCAUGGGGAGUAGCUAAACUACUAUCAUGUAAAGAACACAAAGUAGAAACAAAAUGUCUAAGAAAAAUGCAUACCUCAGGAGCCAUCCAUCGGUAUGUUCCAGUUUCUGCUGUCAUUACUCCUGAUUGAGCUUGCACUCUGGCAACUCCAAAAUCGGCAACUUUAACAACCUGUAAAGGACAGACCAAUAAUUUUAGGACAAAAAUCACAAUCUAUUAUAGAAUUUACAGCAUAACAUAAUCCCAGUCGAAAUUCAUAAGGAAAAAAAGAAAACUAUAGCUUUUAAUAGAAAAUUAAUUAAUCAAUGACUUGAUUAACAAAGUAUCUUACUUGAUUUUCAUCCAUCAAAAGAUUGGCAGUUUUCAGGUCCCUGUGGAUAAUGUUGUUUUGAUGCAAAUAGUUAAUUCCUUUGGAAACAUCAAGGGCUACUUUGAGUAGAGAUGGCAACUUAAAAACUCCCCUUUGCUGAUGCAAAUAGUCAUAUAAGCUACCUCUGGCCAUGAAUUCUGAUAAAGCACAAAUAUCACUAUCAAAAACUGGCUAUCUAUAAAAUGAAAAAAAAAAUGUUUCUAUUUUGAUAAAGUCACAGAGUUUAUCAUCAUAGAAUUAAAGGGAUAAAAAGGCAUACGCAUCAGAAUUUUUAAAUUUUGGUAUACAGAGGGGAAUUCAGACACUAAAUUUGUAAUGGUAGGUUUUGUGUCAAUCUCUCAGUUUGCACUCCAAAGCCAGAAUUGUUCCCUUCUAGCAACAUAAUUAUAGAUAAUAUCUGGUAAAGAUGAAAAACAGCAACACUUAACAGCACCAUUUUAGAAGCAAAAGUUUCAAAAUUUUAUGCGCUGAAGGAAAAAAAUUUGUAGAGGAUGAUAAGUCAUAGCUAGAAAACUUCUUUAGAUUAUACCAGUUACAAUGCAGGGAUUUGGAGCUCUUGUACAUGCACCUAUGAAUUGAACAACAUUCUUAUGCCGAAUUUUCCUACAAACAGGAAAAAAAAAGGUUGAAAUUCCACUGCAUGUGAGUCAGCAUUGCAGAUAACUACCAAUAUGUCUCAGCCUCCUAGGAACCAAUACAAUGAUUAGAAUAUUAAUGCAUUCAAUAACUAGAGAAGUUAUUAAAUUCAACUAUAAUAUGUGAGGAACUGUGAGAUAUUCUAAUGAGAUCUGCCACAGCUUAUCUCGUAAUAGUCACCCCCAAUAUAAACACCAGUAUACAUAUGGACACAUGGUAUCAUUUAGUUCUACAGGAGGCUAUAGGAAAAUGAUGGAGUUCAGACUUCAUUACAACUACCAAUCAAACCAAAAUUGGUGUAAUACCAAGUGCUUUUCAAGAGAACUGAAACAGCAAUGUGCAUGGAAAAUAGAUGAUAUGCAGACUACAAGCUAAAAGGUGGCCUGUUUCAGAGCUAUGUCCCUCAAACAUUCUAACCCUCCAUUCAGUGCUAACUCUCCUAUUUUCAAAAAUAAGCAGCAACUGUAGUUAUCUUCUUUCUGUUUUUAAGUACCACGCGCCCAAUAUUCCCCAGCAUUUUAUUCAUUGAAAAUUCACCAUAAUACUUAGAACUUAGAGAGGCGUUUAGCAAAACGUUUCAACCGAGAUCGGGCAGUGCACUGGACUAGUUGUGUACCCAAUUCCAUGCAGAGAUGGGCAUUGGUCAGGAAAAAUUACGAACAGAACUGGGCAAAAUGAUUGAGCAGAUGCUGCUUAAAAUCUAGGUGGUGUUGGUAAGAAGCCUACCUAUCUGGUAGAAAUGGAAUCAUCUGAGACACAUAAGAAACCAGCCACUUGGUCUAGUGUAUCAAAAGAUUCUGGUAACCCAGGGAAACUGCUGGUAAUCCAAGAACCUGGCUCUGAUACACUGAUGCACGCGAACAGAUAAUUCCAGAAAAUAGAAAGAUGAUAGGGAAGACAGAAAAGAAGAGCAGCAAUUGGAAUUGCUUGGAGAAACACGAGAGAAUCCGAUAAUUUUUUAUUAAGAGUUUAUAGGAUUUGGCUUGAAUUUGCAUUGUGAAACAUCUAACUACAGGACACAUUGAGAAUGCUUAUCAGAAGAAGCAACUGGUUCCCUUCAAAAUAAUUAGCAUGUACCAGCACUCCAACGAACCUCAUAAUAAAAACUUCCUGAGAAAACUCUCUCAGCAAUUCUCCUGUAACCCGCUCAGGCUUGAGGACUUUAAUAGCCACUUCUUGACUAUAAUAUGUGCCUCUGUAUCUGAAGAUGUUAAUUGAGAUUAUGAGUUAGAAUCAGUACUCUCCCUUAUGUCAAAGGAGAAAAAAGCCUGCUUGAAGCUGACAAAACUUACAGAUCACCAUAGGACCCAGAUGCAAUCUUGUGUUCAAUUUUGAGCUGCCUGGAAUCAAUUUCCCAUACAUCAGUUCCAUCGGUCGGGAUUUCAACACAAUUGGGCAAAGAAACAGCCUCUUCUUUGACAAGCCCGGUCAUAGCAGAUAUUGAACUCUUUCUCACACAAGAUUGCUCCUGCAGCCAAUUAUAGGAAGCAGAAGAAUAAAUAGGCUAUAGCAAUCCAUAAUCAACAUGAUUGCUACCAUGGUCUUACAAGUCAUCAUCAAGUAUAGGGAGUUGGGUUCAUCUACUGAAAAGCAGUCAGUAUGCAUCUGUUUGGAGGACAAGCACUAGAAAACUAAGAACUCUAAAGCUGAAAAGUGGAAACCAAAAUUGACCUUUCACCUUCUGAUAAGUUAUAUUUAGCAUAUAACCUAUUUUAACUAAGAAGAAUUAAUGUCAAAGCUUCAAUUUGGAUAUAUAUAUAAUGAAAGUCUAUGCCAACAAAAAGGAAGAUCACUAGCCAUAUUUGGCAUCAUCUGCAGCACUAAUAGCAGUGACAAGGCUUGAUUCAGCACUAAUGGCAAAAGAUAUAUAUGAGGUCAUUCACGGCCAUCACAAUUGAAGUAGUGAAACAUGAGUAACAUGGAGGAAAUGGUACCUGAGACUUUAAAAUUUCCUUCUCCAGUGCAUCUUUGAGCUCCUUGGUUUCCUAAAAGAUUAAUGAGUGAAACAUUGCUUUUCCAGACUUAGCAACAAGCAUUUGAUCCAGUGUUCACAAAUAUAAGAGCAUACCUCAAAAGGCCAACCAUCAACAACAAAAACAUCCAAAGAGUACCCAUCAACAGUGGAAAAAGCAUGAGCUUCCUGAAUGUUCAAUCCAAGCUCCGCAAGUAAAGAAGUCAACUGAAAAAAUAAUCAUCAAUAUCUAUCAUUCAUCACAAGAGAAAGUUUCAACAAAAAGUGUACCAAAUGGGAUCUUCCAGCAAGAAGAACAUAGUAAAACAUAAUAUGACAUCAUAAAGGCUAGUGCAAACAUAAAGAGCUGUAUCCAUGGCAUCCAUUGUACCAGUGCAUUUUGUGUUUCUUUCACCUAUGAUGAUGCAGAGGCAGUAAAUCAACAGAUUAGAAUUUCCAUUGAACAAAAGCUAGUGCAAACAUAAAGAACUGUAUCCGUGGAAUCUAUUUCAAAUCAUCAGUAAAUGAAGUGUUAAAAUUUUAUCUUUACUUUCUAUGUGAAACUCUGAUUAAAAAUGCCAAUGCUGCUGUGUUAGAUAAGCAAUGAAACUACAGCAUGUUUCAUGUUAGGCAACAGAAAGAGGAUGCCAAUAUCUUUCAGAAAUUUAUGAGAACACACAAUGGCCCACAUCACCACGACAGGAGAAGAGGAAGCAUCAACUACCUGACUAAGGAGUUUUGGCUUGUCAACUGUAGAAAAGGUGAUCUCAUGCAUAGGCCUACAAGAUUCCGGUUAGAGAAUAUUAUUUAUGUAAAAUCAAGUUAUGCAACCAUUAACAAAAAGCAGCAGAUUAGUUAAAGAUAAAAUGCAAGCAAAAUAGCUAAGGGCUCCAGUGACAAAUAAUAACCAGAAGAGAAAGAUAAGCCACUGUGUAGUACAAAACUUAAAAGAGACUCUGCACAAUUUAUCAAAAUCCUUACCGGAGGCCUGAUGUUGAAUUCACAGCACUGUCUCUAUCUUCACUUGCUUGAAGAUAAAAAGCUUCAAGAUUAGGUGAUGAACCAAAGGUAGGUGGUGGGUGGAUGCUGAAGAAAGACAGAAAAGGAACAGCAAGCACACCAAUAAAGAAAAAAGCAUAGUUAUGUUUGGGUCUAGAAGGAAGAAGAGCCCAAAAAAAAUCAAUGGAAAUAAUAACUUUAACUACAAUGAGCCUUACCCCUGUCUAUUUAAAUGAUAAGCACUUUCUGCAUCUGCUUUUACAGAAGAAUCAGAAUGAACAGAGUCAACAGAAUUUGAGGCAGAAACAGGAUAAACCUAUAGAAGAUACCAGAAUUUAAUAAAAUUAUAUCAGUUAAUACUAAUUGUCAAAGCUCAGCUACAUUCAAUCUCCAGGAUUUUGAAAAGGAUAAUGAGGUAUACCAUAGUCAAAGAGAAACAUCAAAUAGAAACCCUUAUUAUUAAGGUAUAAACAAUAGAAGAAGCAGAAAUGUACACCUGCACGAUGCGAACAUCAAAAACAGGAAGAUUAGCAGGGUCCUCUGCCAGAUGCAAUAAUCUUUUAUGUGUAAGCACAUCUUCUGCCCGCUCCACAUUCACAUCUAAUGCGUAUCUAUCAAAAGUAACAGAAAUCUCAAAACAUGGAACAGAACAACUCAUAAUUUGGUAUAAGGUCAAGUAUUAAACUAUUCAGGAAAAAAGCACCAAUAAUUUCCAACUUCAUUAACUAUACAAACGUGGAAGGAUAAUGAAAAAGAUGAAAAGAGACAAACAAGGCUGUUUCUCUUAUUUGAUAUGAACUCUUUUUUUUUUUCCUUUCUCGUUUGUUAACGACAAAACGAAUUCUUUAAAAGGAAAGGAAAAGGAUCAUAGUAAGAUUCAUGAAUCUUAUAUCUAAGCAACACUUCCAAAUCAUCAGCAAGACAACAACAAAAACAAUCGUUAUACGAAUUUUAAAAUGAAAAAGCUGCAGAAUCGAGGAAAAGCAGAAAUCUAGGAUUAGAGUUAGUACCGAGCAGGGAGUCGAUUGAAAUGAAGCCAUAGCUGAUCAUCGAAGCCAGGCAGAUUAGCUUCUUCAUAAUUAGACUCCUGGAUACGCUUAAGCACCUCGUUGUAAACGUCCAGCUUUUGCCUGUGAUGUCGAGGAUUCACAUGGACCAGCGAGUCCACGGCUCUACUCCCGCAGCUCUCAGUGUCCUCUUCAAUCGCCAUUGGAGAGUCUCGCAACAACCACUAUACACUAACCAAAACAGAUUCACAGCAAAAUCGAGCACUCAAAGAUUCAUUUAAAGACACUAGAAAACGAAACUGAAAAAGAAACGGGCUAAAUUUAUUAUUAUAUUUGAUCCAAUUGAGAAAAAUCGGAGAGCAACACGAAAAAGGAGAGUGACGAGACAAAAGCUCCAACCAUCAAAUAUAAUUAAUUAAUUAAUUAAUUAAUAUUCCUUUUUAAAACUCAUAAUCAAUACCGACCAAUUUAAGGUUUUGGGUUAAUUGCACCUAUCCUUCCUAUACUAUUUAUUAGAUUCUUUUAAUCCUUAAAUUUUAAAAUGUUUUAUUGCAUCAAUCCAACCUAUCUAUUGAAUAUUUAAAACAUAAUAAUCAAAUUGUAAAUAAGUGUGUACCUAUUACAUGUAUAAUCUAGAUCUAACGUAUUAAAAAAAUUGAUAGUGUCAAUAAAAUUAUGAGAGCUAUUUAUUUUUUAACACGUUAGAUUUAAACUAUUCAUAUUGUAUGUACAUACAUGUUUAUAAUGUGACCCGUGUGCUUUUAUAUGCUCCACACCAUAUUUGAGCCGACAUUUAAUGCCCAAACUAAUAACUAGAUUGAUGGAAAGAUUUAGUUGCUAGAUCAAAUUCUACAAUUAGUCAUUAUAUUAUGCGCAAGUUGUGGAUUUAAUCCUAAUACUGAUCAAAUAUGAUCCUUGUACUUUUUGAUUUGGUCAAUUUCAGUCCUUUUCUUUUUCAAAAUUUAAAAUUUUCAAGCAUGACCUAAACUAUAAUUAAAUUAGCAAUUAUAGUAUUAGUCAUAUACUCUGUAUAAAGUUGUAAAUUUAGUUUAUGUUCUGCAAUUUUAUCAUGCUUAGUCCUUACACAUUUAGUUUAAUAUUGGGUUGAGAGAAGUUUAGGUAGAAGAAUAAUAGAGAGUUUGCAAAAUAAAGGGAUAACUAUGAGGUGUUGGAGGUAAUGCUUCGAAACACUUUUCGAUGCUUAAGUCAAUGACGGAAUAAUGUUUAAGAAUCAUUGAGUGAGGUGAGAGUAAAGGAUUAGUUUUUGCCCUCAAAGUGAAAAUGCCUUUGUGAUGUUGCAAUAAUCUCAAUUGCAUUGAGGUGCAAGAAGAUGUAUAAGACAUAACCGUUGUUUAUCGUUGAUCUUUUGAAGUUUAUGCCAUUGCUUGGCAAAGAUGUUCGUAUCGUUUACACCUUGUUCCUACUUUCUGAUUCUUUGCUAGGUACUAUUGUUGACCUUGUUGGGAAUUUGUCAAACUUCAAAAAAUAUACUACGGAGGUUUUUUUAUUAGAAGUUAGAUUACAUUUUAUCUCUUUUACUAAAAAAAUGAGCAAAUUAGUCUCUAUACAUUAGAUAAAAGAGAAAACUAGUCAUUUUUGUUAAAACUUUCAUCCACUUCUACUGUUUAAAACUAGUGUGACUAAUGGAAUAAACAAACAGUUACACGAGGCGUGCUACAUGUACCUCUUGAUAACGUAUAAGGACCCAUUUUUAACAACAAAAAUAGAUGAAAUUUUUAAUAAAAAACCAAUUUUUUCAUCGAUCUAAAAGACUAUUUUACUCAUUUUUAAGUAAAAAUUAAAAUUCAAUCAAACUCCUAGUAAAAUGGCCUCCGUGACAACUUUUAUAGUCAAAUUUCACUACAACUUAUGUCUAUCUUUUACUCUUGGGCUAAUCCAUUUAUACCAGCUUUAUCACUUAAUUUUUGGGCUUAUACACUAUGAUAUAACAAGACUUGCAGCAAAGAAAUAAUUGUCUUUGAGCCAGCCCAUCACCGAUCCACAAUAGAUGUAGGAAUACUUAUGGUCAAAUUUUGUUAUUAGUCCCUUUACUAUGCGCAAGUUACAAAUUUAGCAUUUGUACUCUAAUUUAGUCAAUUUUAGUCUCAAUACUUUUUCAAUUUCAAAAUUUCAAUCUUAUCCCAUAAAAACUAAAUUCAUUAGGUCAAUAUUGAAAUUCUACUAUUUGUCUCAUACUAUGUGUAUGUUGUAGAUUCAAUCUUUGUUCAUUGAUUUGAUCAUUUUUAGUGUUGUACUUUUUAAAUAAUGAAAUUUCAACAUAGACUCAAAUGCUAGCAGUGAAAUCAAUUAAUUCACGUAACAUAGUUUUUGCGAAUAUUAUGUGGAAAUAAUAAGUUGACAUGGCAUUAAUGACUUUAAUUGCUACCAUUUAGGUCAAGAUUAAAAUUUUAAAAUUGGAAAAAGCAUAAGGACUAAUAGCAAAAAUUGACCAAAACUUACCAACCAAACGGCCGGCAAUUCGUUUAGGCAGUUGGAAAAUUUCGAAGAAUUAAAAUCAGAGGUAAAUAUAUAAAGGUUAAAAUAUGCUUGAAGCCCUUAUAUUAUUUGUGCAUUUGGACUUCAGUCCAAUUUCUCUACUUUCUGGAUUUAAAAAUUCAGAUACAAUUCUUUAACAUUCUUUUGUUAAAUUUGCUAGUCAUGUAACAACGAAUUGACAUUAUAAUAAAUUCGAAUUUAACUGAAGAUUUUUAAUAAUAUUAACAAUUAAAUUUAUAUUUUAAAAUAUAAAACGUACAGAGAUUAAAUUCUAAAAUAUACAAAAAGUUGAAGGGCUUGAAAUAUAAUUUAACGUACAUAAAUUUUACAUAAAUAAUAUUAAAUGAGUAUAGAUGAGAUCAUAAAUGCGAAAACUAUUCGCCCAUGUGAAAAACCUACUAUUUCCCUUUUUUACCUAAGCGAGUAGUCACUAUCAAAACAAUGUUUUUUAAUCUCCAAAAAUAACAUCCAUGUAGGGUGGUAAAAGUAAUAUUAACUUUGUUUAUUUUAUUUAAAAAAUAAGUAAAUUAGUCUAUGUUAAAUUAAAGAAUAAAUUGGUCCACUUCUACCGUUAAAUAUUGAUCCCUAUACAUUAGCAUGAGGUAUAUAUGAUAUACAACAUCUCAUCAUUUAGUUUUUUUGUUAUUCAUACCAAUUUUUAACAAAAAAAAUUGAUAAAAUUUUUAACAGAAAAAAUCUCUCUACCUUUUCAUCUAUUGUAUAGGGACUAAUUUACACAUUUUUAAAUAAAAUAGAUAAAAUAUAAUAUAAUAAGGACCUCCAUAAUAUUUUCACCCAUCUAUUCCUAUUUUCUAAUACGAUUCGGUAUACGUAGUAAUUUCUGAUUUUACUUUCUCGUCUUCUCUGCACAUUAUCAAAAGGUUUAUCGUCGAUCAAAACUUCACCCUUCAUAGCAUUGGCUGCCCAACAUUCAUAUAUAUAUAUAUGUAUGUUUGUAUGUAUGAAUGAUUUAAGAAGCAGUUGUUACGGGAUAUAGCUCUUCUAAACCCUAGCUCUUGUGUGUGUAUGUAUGUAUGUAUGUUAGGUAUCUAAGGUCUCUUAACAACUCCGUUGGCUUGCAACUAAAACAGUACUUGCAAAGUCCUUUCUUUAUAUACAUAUAAUCGUAAGUGACAUAGGACUUGAAGUUUUACUGAUGAUGGCAACUAAUAAUAAUUUUGUCGGUUUGGUGGGUUAUAGGGGCUUAGUCAAGGCGACCGGGAGAGACCUUAGCCUCCUUCGUUAAAAUCGGAAAUUUAUUUUUUCAACUCUUCUCAAAUAUUAAAUUAUUUAAUUCAUGAUGCAAUUUAAUUCAUCCCUCCAAAAUUUUAAAAUUUUAUCUCGACACAAUAUAGGUCAUCCUAUGGCUCGCAACUAUACAAUUUUGUCUUUUUUUUAUUAUCAUGAAAAUAUAAAAAAAUUUAAGAUGAUUGAGUAACUAUUUUAUAACUUUUCUAUCUCUACAUACACACUAAUAAAAAGAACCCCAAUGCAUGGUAAGAACAUAUAUAUAUGAUGUAAAUAAUACAACUAGUUUAUAUCAUAAGCUUAAUAUAUAUAUAACGGGGUUAUGUAGUUGAUAAUGCAGGAGAACAAAGAACAAACCUUUGUGGUGGCAUGAUAUGGUGGCUUUUUUACAAAGCAUAUAAAAAGCUUGGACAUAUAUGAAAGAGCACUAAGAUAUUGGCACGGCUCAAUCAGACCAAAAUAAUAAUAAAGAAGAGAGAAAGUGCCUUUUAUGUUUCAUGUCUGAGUGAACCAGGCCAAUAUCAAAGUCACUAUUUCAUGUCAUAUUACACCAUAUAAUAUAAAAAACCAUCCAUGGAUGGUUCCUCUUCUAACAUGCCCGACAUGCAGUUUGUCCCAUAAGGAACUGCAAAUCAAUGAAGAAUAUCAAACAAGUUAAAGAAGAAGACAGAAAGAGAAAAAUGAGGAAGAAGGUGUUGUGUUGUGUUGUAAGAAUGUCUGGGGGGUGGAGGGGGGGAGGGGGGAGAAUUUAAGAGAGUAAGAGAGGGUUUACUUUUCUGCAAUACGAGCAUUUAAAACCCUCUACUACCAAAGCAGAAACUUGGGGCCACUGCAUUUAUAUCCAAUAUUAUUCUCCCUCUUCCCCUCCCCACAGUCCCAUCCAUGUUUUUCUUUUUCUAUGAAUCAUUAAGCCUGCCUUAAAUUCUAUGUAUACUUCUCUUUUUAGUUACAUGGGGCACCCCAUCAUGGAUAGUAUGGGUUAGAAGAUUCCCUCCCUAUUUCGGAGGGUUUAUAUAAAAAUAUUACAUUUAAAAAAUUUAAGUUAAUUUAAAAUAUAGAUCGAGUUUGAGUUUAAACAUUCAAGACUUAAAAAUGGUUCGAUCAUCUUAUUUUGAUUUCUCGGACCAAGAGAUCCAUGAAUCAGGAUCCUAAUGCAUAUAGAUACAAAUAGUCCAAUGGGAACAAGAAUUUUCAUGAGCAUUUGAAACAUUUCAUUUCUAAGUAGAAGAGCCGUUUUCGAGUAGUGUUCGAUCGAUUACACAUUAAUCAAUACCCGAUUGAUUGGUCUGAGGUUAUCGACAAAAAACAUUUGUCUAAGUCACUUCGUUUCUUUUUGUCCAAGUUGCUUCUCUUUUCGUCUAACUCACUUAAUUCCUUUUUUCUUUGUGAGUUCGGAAACUUGACCCAACCCAUUUUAAAUUUAUAAUAAUUUAUGUUGUUUUUAUGUAUUAUGUAAUUUAUAACACAUAAAAAAAUAAAUCUAUAUUUAAUAUAUAAUACUACUCUAAUGUAAAUAUUAGAAAAAUGUUAAGAUGACUAUAUACAAAAUUUUAAUAAAUAAAAAAUGGGAUAAAUCCCGAAACUAUAUAUAAAAUACGGUUUAAUGUGCAAUUGUAUACAUGAACUUUAAUUUUGUGCAAUUUUAUACAUGAAAUUUCUAUUUGAUUCAGUUCUUGUAAAUUAUCAACACAAUUAUUGAUAUAAUUAACAUAAUUUUAUGUUUAUAUAUUGCAUGAACAAAUAAUUAUAUUUAUCAAAUAUCAAAAUAAAUCGAUGUAUUUAUUUCUUUAAAUGUAUAUGAUUAAAUCAAAAUUAAAGGUUCAAGUAUACAUUUGAACCACAAUUAGGGUUUCAUGUUAAAUUAAAAUUAAAGGUUCAAGUAUACAUUUGAACCACAAUUAGGGUUUCAUGUGUAUAAUUGCACUAAAUUAAAGUUCAUGUAUACAAUUGCACAUUAAAUCGAAGUUCAUGUAUAAUUUUGAGAUUUAUCCCAAUAAAAAUAUAUUAAAUUAUUAAAUAUUAAAUAUUAAAAUAAAAUAAUAUAAAUAUUUAGAAAAAAAUUUUAAAAAAUACGGUGAGCCUAGGCUUGGACAAAACUUUAAGCUCAUAUUUCGGGUUGGGCUGGGGCAAGCAUAAAUUGUGUUAAUAUUAUGCUUAAGCCUGACCCGAACCUGGCUCAAUCCGACAUGUGAAUAGGUCUAUACCCCCUCUUCCACAACUAAUAUUAAUGGUAAAAACACAUCUUAAUUUGUCAAUCUCGAUAUCAAGUAAAUUAGUUCCUUUUAAAAAAAUUGGAAUAAUUUAAUCGUGUCAAUUUCAAAAGUGAGUUGAUAACAACAUUAAUGUUUUUCAUCAAUUGUAAUCAUUUCGAUUGAUAUAAUAAUAAAUUUAGUCCUCGAUGUUUAUGUAUUAUGUGUAAAUAUUGUGGGCUAAACUUGUUAAAUAAAUAACAAAUUGACAAACUGUGUAAACUUUGAGUGCUGAAUCUGUUAUUAUACCAGUAAAAAAAUGGUUAAAAUAUGCCAUACGUCUAUGCACUCUUCAUCUAUUUUGUGUAGAUAGUGCAAGCUAAAUUUGUUAAAUUAAUAACAAUUUGACAAAAUGUGUAAACUUUGAGUGCUAAAUUUGUUAUUAUACUAAUAAAAAUGGUUUAAAUAUGCCAUAAGUUCUUGUACUCUUCGUAAAUUUGAAAUUAAAAAUCCCUUUAUUUUUAUUUUUAGUAAUUUAGUCCCACUAUUUUUUAGAUUUCAAAAUUCAAGUCUAAUUGUUAAACCUUUUAAAAUUAUUUUGUUAAAUUCAGAUUUAUUAUAAUGUAAUUUUUUUAUUUAUAUAGUUAUCAAGUGAGUUUUUUUUCAACCAUUUUAACAAAAAAAAAUGUUAACAAUUGGACUUGAAUUUUGAAAUUUGAAAAAUAGAUAAACUAAAUCUCUAGAAAUAAAAUUUCAAAUCUAUGAAGAGUACAGGGACCUAUGGCACAUUUUAACCAUAAAAAAUAUACAAUUGAUGAAAAACUUUAACUCUGUGAGUAAUUGUCCUUAGUCGCUUACAUUCAAAACUAAAAUGGAUUAAAUUGCUUUGUUUUCUUUUCUAGAGACCAUUUUACUAAAUAUCAAAAUUAAAAGGGACUAAAAAAGUCAUUUUACCAAUAUUAAUACAUGUAUCAAUAGCUAGACAUUGCAUGCAUGGACCCCCCUCAAGAGAGAGCAAUAAGCAAAGCAGUAUUUCUACUAUGAAACUGAGUUGGUAUGAAGUAAAAUAUGGUCUGUCUGUUGGAGGGGUCAACUGAAAUCCAAUUCUUUGCACAAAUGGCUAAACCAAAGUUCCAAAAGUAAAGAAAAAAUAAUAUAUACAUAUAUAUAUAUAUAUAAUAUGAAGGAUUAAAUAGAAAAUAUUUGUAUUAUAAAGACAAGCACAUGGGGGUUGGUCAUAGUUAUAAAAGUGAAGCAAGAAUUCAAAAAAGAAAGUGUGUGCCCCAAUAGAAAGAAAGGCAGACAAAGUCCAUGUCCAUGAUCGUGAUACUCUCACUGCAUUGCCGAACCAGAAAGACCACCACCAUUAAUGAAGGAAUCUCUCUCUCUGGGAUAGACAGUCAGCAAUAUUAAUAGCCAAGGGGGUAACUAGUCAGACCUGUUUUUAGAAAUUGGAUGUGCUAUUCAAUCCUAUUUGGAUUUAAAUUCACCAACUUGAUUAAUUUUAAUUGAGUUUGCCUUCACUUGAUUUAGUUUAUGCAAUACGAACGUGAAACCGCCUUAAACAAAAAAAUAGUUUCAAAUUCAAAAUGACUUAAAGUUGAAAUAACACGAAAAAAUAAUCAGAAAUUAUUUUAACUCGGUACCAGUACAUGCCAUUAAGUAUUGGGAGGGUCUACUUCAAAUUUUCAAAAAAAUCAAGGGGUGUAAUUAGAUUUUUCAAAUUUUCAAGGCUUACUAAGAAGUUCUAAAAAAUUUGAGAUUUAAUUAAAAUUUUUAAAAAUAAUUCUGGAGGACUAAUGAGAAUUUUGAGAAAAGAAAGUAUUCAAAAUCAAUAAAAAUUUUGAAAAAAAAUUAAAAAGCAUAAUGAAAAUUUGACAGAUAAACCUAAAUAACUCGAAUCUAAAAUAAUAUAAAUUUAAAAUAAGUUGAAACCAAAACCAAAAUAGUUGGAAGACCUUGCUCCUCUAAUUUGCAAUAGUUUUGUUAUAAUAAUUUGGAUUCCCGCUUAUCCAUAUGCACAUAGUCAUGACGCGUACAAUUAUUUGAUUUUUGCUCACGUGAUACAGGAGGAUGAAUUAAUAUAUAUGUAUAUGGGACCAAUAUGUAGGUACUAAUAUCGAUGUGUUUCAGAUUUAUCAAAUAUUAUAAUUUAUACCUUAAUUACAUACACAUUCAAUUAAUUUUAAUUACUGAAAUACCAUUAAUCAUUUCUCUCUCUAUAUAAACACAAAAAUUGCUUUCAAAUUUCCUAAUAAAUUAGCAAAAAAUGCCGUUUUUCUUUCAAAAAAACAAAAUGAAUAAAUCAAUUUUUGACAUAUUUAUUAGAAUAAAUUUUGAAGAGAAAAAAUAAAAAUGCGUCCAGCUAAAAUUUGUGAGUAUCGAUAGUAUCGAUACUUUCUUAAGGUUAUCGAUAUUUUUGACUACGCAAUAAAAAACGCAUCCCACUGGACACGUUUGCUUGCAAAGUAAACUAAAAACACGUCCAACCAUCCAAAAUCGGUCUAUUUCGAUAAAUAUGACAAAAAUCGACCUGUUCAUUCAAUUAACAAUUUUUUUAAAAACGGCAUUUUUGACUAAUUUAGCCUAAAUUUCCCAUUAGUUUCACUUUAUAAAUAUAUAUAUCAAACAAUCAUCUCUAGUAUUAUACAAUAAAAAAUUAUAAUCAACCAUAAUACAAAUAAAUAAUGUAUAAUAAAAUCAAUUAAUUAUUUAGAAUACCCAAAGAUGAAAAAGGUGCAAGCUGUGUAUUGCGUCAUUGAUAAUCAAUCAAAGAAUUAAAUAUAGCAAAGCAACAUAAAUAAAUUCGAAAAACAAGAAACAAUUAGAUAUUUACAUUCUAUGAAAAAACCAUAAUAUAUGGUCUUCUGCUAUACAUCAUAGUUUGCAUAAUCAUAAAAUACAAACAACUUCAUGUGUGAACUUUGAAUAUAUAACCUUCAUUAUUAUGGCUAUAUCUCAUUGUUCAAGUUAAUCCAAACUUAACCCUAAUUAUGGUCCAACAUGUCAAAAUGUUAUAUCUAUACAUGGCCUACGUUGCUCCUUUGCCCGAACAUGAGUAUGAGGGUAUGACCCUCCAAACAUCCUCUAAAAACAUGAAAAAAAAAAGCCACUUUAAGAAAGAUAGAUUGUACCUGUACCCGAGACUCAUUCGUACAUACCAUCUUCUGUAAAGCAGGAUUAUGCAUUAUUCUAUGUUAAGAGGUUAGCAUAGGCAUCUUCCUGAAGCAUUCUGGUGAAACUCGGAAACCAGAAGGUAUACCCUUUGGCUUGUAAUAGUAAAAUCGAAAAUGAAUUAUAGCUCACAAGUAGGCCAACCAACAAGCAUACAAGCAUGGUUACAAUCAAAACAUGUUACUGAUUAUGACUCGAAUUGCGUAGCUUCAUUAGUUUGUCUCUUAACAUUGCUGCAAGAAGUUGAUUCAUAAUGUAAGACGCUAAGGGGAUGCUAGACAGAAUGGAAAAGUGGAAGGAUGGAAAGAGGGUGAAAAAGUGAAAAGAAAAUCGAUAUUGAGUGUGAUCAUUAGGAAAGAAAAUAGAAAUCACAACCAUUUUCCAUCCCAUGAAUAAAUAAAUAAAAUCAUUCCAAUUUGGAACAAGAAGAGUAGAUAAAACGUGAGAUGUAAGUUAAAUGUACAAAAUUAUGAAUUCAUUUUCUUUCCUCUCGUUUCUCAACUCUACUGAGCAUUGAAUGGAAAAAAAAGAAUACAUUUUUCUUUCCAUUUUCCAACUUUCCUAUCGAGCAAAUCAAUAUAAAGAAAAUAUAUAUAUAUUUCUAGGUUUCUACUUUUCCACUCCAAUUUUCCAUACUUCCAAUUUUUUUUCCACCUAGCAAAGCCUAAGAUGAAACAAAAAUAUAUAAUUGAACAAAGAAGGUAGAUUCUAUAAUCUUUAUUUUGGUUGGAAGAUUAUAUUCUAUGUUCUUAUUACCUGCAUCAUUGUACCUUUCUUCUUCAACAGCUAAAUUCAUAUUCCUCACCAGAUCAAGCUCCUCUGUUAAUAAAUCCGGACCCUCCAUAGCGCUGGAAAUACACAACCGUGCUUAGAGUUAAUAUAAACCAACCGGACUUUACGAAAAACACCAAAUGUAGCACACACAACAUACCUGUCAAGCACUACAUCGUAAGUAGGCGUUGUAUCGCGCACUCUGCCCAUCCCGAAGCCAAUUCUAAUAGCAUCUUCCAAGACAAUUUGUUUACUUACAUAGAUCGGAGCCUGCAUAUAGAAAACACCAAUUAGAAGCUGCGAAGAAGCAAACGGUUGAAGUGAAUACAUUAUUGAACCUCGUAAAAACGAGUCAUUUGACAUUGACAUAGAGAGACAGAAUGCAAAUUGAAAAUACUGGACCAACCUACUUAAAUUGGAACGGCAGUAGGAAUCACAACAGAAUAAGACUAAAAUGCAAGCAAUUGCCCUUUCGUAUUGCAAAAGAUCGGUUCAUUGUAAUUUCCAAGUACAUACCUUGCAUCUAUGAGCCACAUUGAUGGCAUCCGAGGGCCGUGCAUCUACACUUAUCACAUCAUUUUCUCCCGGCUAUAAACACAAAAACAAUAACUGAAUCAGGCUCCUUUAUCGAAUGAAUAAAGAACGACAAUGCAAUCUUUUAAGUUCUAAUCACCUUGCUAAAAUACAACUUUGCAAAGUAAGUAUUGACAACUCUUUCUGUAAUUCUCACCAUUUUAACCUGAAAUGAAACACAAUGUAUAAAUCAAUGAAAAGAGACAUUACACAAUAACAUCACUAAGUUUGUAAGAGAAACUAGUAAUUGGUUCACAAUUGAGAACAUCGAAGCGUCUCGAAACCAUUUGACUCGAUUAUACCCUUUCUUAUUUUACAAAAUUUCUUACUUAUUUCCACUAAAUCCAACCAUUCAAAAGAGUUUUUUAAUAGACAUUAUACGUAAAGAAACAAUUAAACCAAGAAACUGAUAAAAUCUAGGAAAAUUUCAGCAUGAAAAAAAAAACCAACUUCAUACUUCAUAUCCAAGCUUCUCCACAACAUUUUUAACAAGAUGGAACUGAUCUGGACAUUCCUGCAAAAAACCCAAAUUUAUUUCAAGAUAUUAACAUAAAGAUAACAAAAAUCAGAUGUUAAAAGAAAAAUAGUAACAAGCUAAGAAAUAUUACCCCAUUAUCAUCUCCCCAAAAGGAAGCUAUAAGUUUUUCAACAGCAAAUUCCCCUAGCAUCAGCAGAUUAAUAAGUACUAUUAAACAAAACAACAGAUCCAAAAUAAAGUGAGAAAUAUUGUUGAUUUUCUUGUACAUAUAUACCUACAAUAAUGGGUAACAAGAAAUCCCCAUCACAAGAAAUCUUGAGAAAAAUAGUUGGAGUAGGGAAACGACUAAGAAAAGAUUGUCCAAUAGAAGCAAUUUUAGCCCUCGACAUAGGAUGCUGUUCUCUCCUCGAUGAUUGCCAUUUAAUUUCUUCUGUAAUUCCUUGCCUUAACAUCCGAUAGUGCGAAACAGUUUCUACACCAAAUUCAACAAAAAAUUUCCCCCAAAAUUAUUAAAAUUCAACCAAAUUCAAAACACUAUGUGUGUGUAUAUAUAUAUAUAACAAAAACAAAGACGAGUCGAAACCUGAAACGAGAAGAGAAGCUUCGAGGAACUGAAGAUCUUUAUCAUCGUCUUCGUUGAAUUGGGGAUCGAAGCUACCACUACGGAUCGAGUGGCAAGAAACCGGCCGGAGUUUCGCCGGGAAAUGUAAACGGAUUGAAGAAGAACGAAUCGACGGGAAAGAAAAUGCAGGGAUGGUGGGAUAAGUAGUAGCAUUUGAUUUAUGGGAGAAAACCCAGAAAGUGGAGAAUGUACGGUAGCAAAGUUGAGCUCCGAGCAUUGUAUACGAGAGAUAAAAGGGAAAGGAACUGAUUGGGGUUUGGAUUUGGAGUUUAAUUUGAACAACAAGUUAACCAAUGAAAAUGACAAUAAAAAAAAGUUAGUUGGAAUUCGGAGAACAGAGUGGGGAAACACCGACCCGACAACAUAUGUACACGUGUUCAAUUUAUCUUAAGCUUUGACGUGGAAAGCUAAGCUUUAAGCAUGUUUUAACUUUAGAUUUUAUCUACCCUUGUUAGUUUUUAAUUUAAUCCCUCGUGUUUGCCGUGGAAGCGGUUUAGGACGUUGUUCGAUAGAGAAAUGUCAUUUUGUAAAAAUAAUGAUAUGGAAGAUAUCGAAUAAAUACUUUAUAAAAAUAAUUCUUGCGUAGUUUAUAUUUUGGUCCUCUAACUUUAAAAAGUUAUAAAAUUGUCACUAAAUUAUUCAAAAAAAUUUAUUUUAAGUCAUUGGGUUGAUAAUUUUUUUUUAAGUUCGUCUAGUGAGCUCUAAAUAACGAUUUGACGAUCAAUACAGUGAAUACCUUUCAACGAGUAGAAGAACAUACCUUAAAUCUAAGUUGAUUUGAUGGUCAAUGUUGAAGAUUGGAGAAAAAAAAAUUGUUUAAGUUUUGGUUUGUAGAUUUACAACGUUCAAAAGUUUUUUCAUGAACAAAAGUUAAAUUGUAGAAGAAAAUGAGGAGGGAACCUUUCAGUUGGUGGAAGCAGUGUAAACAAAGAAUGUCAUACAACAACGAUUUUAAGUGCAACGAUUUCAAAUAAUUUAAUUAAUAUUUUGUAACAUUUUAAAGCUGAGUGACUAAAACGUAAACUUAUAAUAAAUUAAUGACAUUAGAUGUAUUUUAUCCAUAAGUUUUUUUAUCUAUGUUUUUUAAGUGCAACUAAAAAUAUGAAUGUCACCUUUUUAACAAGCAGAUAUUAUCUUCAAUUGAGAUUUUAUCUUCAUAUUUUGAUAAGAAUUUAAGUAUUUGAGGUGACGAGUUCACAUCAUGAGAUUGAACCAUACGUUGUGUACAAUUACUUAGGGUAGACAAAUAUACAUUUCCUAUGGUUGCAUUUUAACCCAUGCCACUUAAAUGAUAACAAUGAACACUUGAUCAAGUUGAUCUAAGCUAAAUUAAGUGGUAACAUUAUUGGGGUUUAAACUUCACCAUAAGCAAAGAUAAGUGACCGUGCAGAAUUUAUCUCGACAAGACAUUCCUCUUUGAAUCCACCACUUUAAGAAUUUGAACUCUUUCAAAAUCGAGAGACAAAACUUCAAUUAAAGACAAUAUCAACUCAUUGAGGAAUCCAUAGCUCCCAACAAAAAAUACUUCAAAAACUUCUCUAAAAGAUUCGGCCUCCCCUCAACAAGACUCAAGAAAUGUAUAAAUCUAUGAGAUCUUAAACACUUGGUUUGUCCAUGUUAGUUCGUUUACCAAUCAAAGAACCAAACCACCUAGCAAAGCACAUAGCUAUCAAGACUAGACAACUUGACAGAAAACAACCCCGAAAAAACAACAAACUGGUCAUUGAGCAAAUCAAAUAAACCAACAAGAAGAGCAACCCGAAACACAAGCUCCAGCACUCUCAAAGCUCACAAUGUCUCCAAGCUCUAUCCAUCACCAAAAAGACAUCAACAAAAUGUAUAUAUAACAUGGUGUAUACUUUUAGAGAAAUGGAAAGUGACAAAAGGUAUAUAUUAAUCAUUGAUUUGAUAAAAUUUCUUAAUAAUAUAAUUACAUGUGACAAGCUGAUCAAUAUGUAGCAAUUGGGUGCAAGAAGCAAACAAAAACAUUCUUCUUAUAAGUGAACUACCGGUUGUUUCAUCAGCACCUAGUUUCACAACAACCUGAAUGAAUGCGGUUAAAUUGAUCAUCUUUCAUUGCUUUUUGGCUUGGGAAGCUGCUUCAAUAUCUUGAUCAAUUCAUAUGUUCUCAUGUCUCGACCCAAGUAAAGGCAAAGAUCGAACGGUGUUAAACCAUCCUGAAACAUGUAAAAGAAUAGAUGCAUCAACAGAACAGCCAAGGAAAAAUUAAGACAAACAUUAUGAAGGGACAGCAGUCUAAAAUUACAGUAUCACUCUAUACCUUGUUUUUUAGCAUCUUAUUUGCCCCUCUAAUUAGUAAAAGCUUCACCACAUCGGUUCUUCUAGCUUGAACGGCGAGAUGUAAUGGUGUCCAACCGUCCUAGACAGGCCAAAAGUUGAAACAAGUUCAUUGCCAAAACAGAAAAGAAUAUCGAAAACAAACUCAUAAAACAACAAACUAGGAAAAGUUAACCAUACAUUGUCUUGAAGGUUUAUAUCAACAUUGUAUAACAGAAGAAGUUUAAUAGUAGGAGUCGAUGCGGCAUUAACAGCAUAAUGCAUCAAGGUGGCUCCAUCCUGUUUGCAGCACAAAACGAGCAUGUUAAUAUUUACACAAAGCCACUCUCAGUCAGUAAAAUAAGGUAUACUGUCAAAUUAUCUCAAGCCCCCAUCUCCCUUUCUUUCCUAACAUGAACACAUCAACAAUGAUCACAAUACAGUGGCAAAUAAGGUUGUCACUGGGGAACCAUUUAAUAAACUAAAAUUCCCAUAAAUUUCUAGAGUUUGCAUAUCUCACCUCAUCACGAACAAAUGGAUUUGCCGAUUCUCUUAAAAGAUAGUUGGUAAUGGCCUGCUUUUUUCCGAUAAUUGCCUUGUGAAUUGCAGUCAAACCAUUCUGCAACGAACAUCAACAAACUCAAAAAUCAUGAAAAAUUGGUAAAAAUGUGAAGAAAGUCUCCCUAUCUAAUAGCAUGUAAUAGUUGACACAAGAGAGCAAAAGAAAUAAUUUACACAAGAAUAUAAAAGAGACCAAGAUUUAUUCUGUCAGCUAGAGAACAUUUUAAUACCUUGUCCACAGCAUUGAUGUCAACAUUGUGUUUCAACAAAGCAUCAACGAGGUAGAACUCUCCUGAUGCGGCAAGAGUGUGAAGAGGCAACCAUUUUCCCUAUAGAAAGUUUCGGCAAUAUGACAAGGAAAAUAGUCAUUUCUCAAAAGUAAACAUAUAUAAUAAUAGAUACAUUCAACCUUCAUAGCAAAUGAGAUAUUCUUGGUGAGCUAGGUAUCAAUGGCAUUUUGUCAUGGAAUCUAGCAUGUACAAUGAGAAACCUUUCGGUUGUUGGUUCCCUAUGGAUAGCAUGGGUGCAACCAUAUAUGGUUAAAAUGUCAAGACCUAUGGCAGCUUCCUAUUGCUUGGGCAAUAGUUGGAACACCUUCUACUGGCAGCUGAUAGUAUCAGCUGUUUGGAAUGCUAUCAGACCAAGAGCUGACAAGGUGAUAUGGCACAAAUUGGUCUGGUUUCAUUUCAAUGUUCCUAGGCACUCCAAAGGAGUCCAGGGACCAAUUAUGGUGAUGUUCUUGGAUUAUGUCAGGUCCACAGACAGGUUGCAUGGGCACAUUCUAUAAUUUUAUGCAUGGCAGAAUUUUCGGAACUUCAGAAGCUCAAGGUGAGUGAUGUACCAUAGAAGAUCAAGGAGACAGUUGCAAUGCACAGGGGCGAAUAUAAGGGAGGGAAUGAAAAUCCUGCAAUUUAGCCCCUUAAUGAAUAAAGAAAAUUUAAGUUAUAAAAUUGCACUCCCCCCCCCCCCAAUCCCCAAAAUGAAAAAAAUUCUGUUUAAUCCCUUCGGAAAUUAUGAAAUCAGAAAUUAAUAAAUACAAUUAUAUUUUGACCUCUUAAAAAUUUAUAAUUCAAUUCCAACCCACUAAAAAAAUUUCUGGAUUCGCCCAUGGCAAUGCAUUUAUGCACUCACAACAAAGUUAAAGUUGAUAAUAUUAACACUGUCUUAUGUUCAAAAGAGGACUUUACUGUUUGAAUUAUAGCAGCUAGUUCGCUUAUUUGGAUAAAUAGAAUUACUACUUAUCUAAAAAAAAGGGUACUUGCCCCAUGUCAACAGGAAGAUGCAUGAUACAAGAGAAUAAUCCAAUAAGAUGAGAACAGAAUUUGCUUAAACAAUGAACUAAAGAAAGCCAAAUUUAAUCAAUAAUCAAGAGCUCUAAAAAACUUACAGAAGUAGCAGCUGCUAAAUCAGGUACACGCCUAUUCAACAUAAGCUUUUCUUCCUUUGUAAACAAUUUACGUGAGCCUAUAUAUAUACAUAUUCAAGCACAUAAAGAUUAAUAAGAACAUUAUAAAGAAACCAAAAAGAAAAAAAGCUUAAUUCACUAAAUUACCUUGAGUAUUUUUCUCGGCUAGCUGAUAAUUUUCACUGUUGAAAAACUCAGCAACAUCAUCGAACCCUUUACUGUAAACUGCCCACCUAGGAUUCUUUGGAGCUACGCGUUCACUCGAAGAUGGGUUAUUCACUGUAUCCUCCAUUGAAUCUUCUUCGUUUUCCUUCUUGGGAAAUGUCGAUGGAUUAUCGAGAACCACGGGGUUCAACUGAGCUAAUUUAGCUUCUUUAUACUUCAAGUAUUCUUGCGAAUUCAUGGUUCUAAUAGGGACUAAACCUUGCUUCUUCUUCUCAACUCUACGCCCAAAUUCCAACUGUUGCGCCAUUUUUCGUCUUUCCUUCUUGGUUAUAUUCAUCUCUUCUACCACAUGGUUCCAUUGCUCUGGAACUAAAUUCUCAGCUUCAAUUUCUUGUUUGUUCUUUUUUGGCUUCGUUUUAGCAAAUCUUGUGGUGGUAUUGGGAUUGUCAAACAUGGAGUCAGGUUGGAGAUAAGGGUCUUCGAAUGCACCGUCUUCGAAGACGAGACAAUCACCGAUGACGUGUUCUUCGUCAUCACCGACGGCGGCGUUGUCUUGGGUUAUGUAAGAAGAGAGAAAGGAAGGGGAAACGGAAUGUAAUUUUCGAGGGAAAUACAAGUUGUGAGGGCGGGAAAGCUUAGGAGGAGAUGUUGAAAGAGAGAGAAAUGAAGUGGACGAGAUUUUGGGGGUUGGGGGUUUUAGCAAUGAGGAAGGAGAAGGCAGUGACAUAGCUUUUUGCUCUUUAGCUUAAAAUCACCAAUAAAUUCAAUUUUGUUUACACGAAGCUUAUCAGGAAAUGAGGCUAAAGAGACGAUAAUGAUGAUGGUCGAUGAUGGUGGAUCGAUCGGCUUCCUAGUUGGCCCAUUAAACCAUGCUUUUUAGAUGAUGAUUCAGCCGGAAAGCCCAUGCAAUGCAAACCCAAACAACUCAGCCGCCCAUCAGCCCAGACCAAAGGGCCGACAUAAAAUUCUAAAAUUUUGAGGAGGUUGAAGGUAAAUAUUUUAUUUUACUGGGGCUUAAAUUAUAUGAUUAAUAUCUAAAAGGGAUCAAAAUUACAAAAUUUUCAUUUAUUUAAAGGACUUAAAAGUAAAUAAUUAAUGCUUAAGAGGGACUCCUGAUGAUAUUUUCCCAUUUUGUCAAGGGGUCAAAAUCCUUGCCUACGGAACACUCCAAAAGCAUAAGUCACACCCCAAACAAGGUGGUUAUUAGGGAUAUGCAUGCAAGUUAUUCGAGUUUAAUUUGAUUCAAUAAUUAUUGAGUUAAGUUAGAGCUCAAGCUACUCUAACUAUAAGCCGAGAGGAAUUUGCUCUUAGUCUUGACUCAAACAGUUUGUGUGCCUUAUUCAGUUUUUCAUUUAUAAUAUAUAUUUUGAAUUUUUUAUUACAAAUUACGUUAUUAUCUUCAAUAUAUUAUUAAUUUUACAUUUAAUUAUCAAGUUAUUAUGAAAAAAAAAUUAUCGAGUUCAAGCUUCAAUACGUACGAACUUAAUCGAGCUUGAACCAAGCUCAAAAAUAAAUAUUUGAUCGUACUCGAGCGAGUAUUGAACUCUGUUCUCUUUCCAAUUAAGUUUUAUCUCAAUUGGAACUAUUACUAUUAUAAUAAUAAAUAAAUAUAUAUAUAUAUAUAUUCAAUUUAAAGAUUACGAAAAAGCUUUGAAUAAAUUAUACAUCACAUAAAAAUACCCGUUGUUUUAAUAUCAAAAUAUGUUACAUAUAAAAGAUUGGAUGAUUUUUCCCAUAAAAUUCAACAUAUUUUUCUUUCAAAGUAUGCUACACAUAUUGCAAUAUUAGUAGAUUAAGUAAAAGGAUAAGAAUUUUCAAGUAAAAAACAGAAAUUUUUAAAUAAAUAUUUGAAAUAAAUUACAUUCAAAAAUUUUAAAUUCAAAUUAAGUUUAUUAUCUGAUCACUCAAAUUUAAAAUGUUAAAUAAUAUUAUCUAUGAACAUAUUGAACAAUAUAAUUGAAAAAUAAAGAUAGUAAAUACUGAUAUUGUACUUCAAGCGGGCGACGACAUUACUCGUACUGAAAUAAUGGCCGAUGAAUUAGUAGAAUUUGAAGAGAGUACUACAGGCAUUGCCCUAAAUUUGGAAUCAAAUAAUAUUGGUGUUGUAUCAAUGAGUGAUGGUUUAAUGAUACAAGAUGAAAGUUCUGUAAAAGCAACAGGAAAAAUUGUUCAGAUUUUAUUAAAUUUUAAAAGUUUUCAUUGAAGUCACCUAACUAUUAAAACGACAUUUUCUAUUCACAUGCUGACCCUCAAAUUUAAUAUCUAUUCAUCUAUUUGUCAAAAAAUACUAAUACAUCUUUACAAUAAUCAAAUCCUCACUUGAAACUCAAACUUUUGAAAAAAAUACUUAAUAACUAAAAUAAAAACUCAUAUUAUAAUUUUUUUAAAGCUGAAUGACCAAAAUGUCAAUCUUGAAACUAUACGUAUAGUGAACUUGAAUAUAGUUUACCCUAAAUAUUUAGAAGCAGCUUACCGUGAGAAAGGAAGAUCAAGUAAAAUAAAAGUUCAGAAAUCAGAUUCAUAAUUUCCAUACAAAAACAAAAAAUGGUUCGCAAUCAGGUGAUAGCUUAAAGCCUAAUAAUAUUUAACCCAAGUUUAAUAAUAGUGUUACCAUACAAGGUACCCCUACAUGCUUAAAGAGAGAUAAGAACACUGCAAACAUUAACCUUGAAGCUCCGUCCAAACUAGAGAGUACAUCAACAUUCAACACUGACGAGACUAAAGCAAAUCUCUCAUCUUUCCCCUUCGACCCAAAACACUUCUUCACCUAGAUCCGCGAGAAUAUGGUGGUGAAUAAGAGCGCUCCCUCCUUGAUCUUCCACCAUGAGGAGAAUACCUUGGAGAGUAAUCACGACCUCGAUAUGGUGAGCGCCUUGGAGAUCGAUGAUACCCGUAGUCAUCACGACCACCACCACGGUACCUGCCACGUUCACCACGACCUUUUCCCCAAUACAAGAACAACCAUCAACAAAAAUAUUAAUCUCGAGUCUCGAUGCUACUCAAAAUCAUAUCGUCGGUAAAAGUAUCAUGGAAACUAUUGUAUUAAAAGUUAAAUUUGCAUUUUGCCACCUUUACUUAAAAAAUAGACAAAUUAAUUUCUGUACGUUAAAUCAAAAGGCAAACUGAUUCUUUCUGUUAAAAAAAUUCAUUUAUUUCUACUAUUAAAAACUAAUGUAGAUAACAUACAAAGACAAAUUUUUAACCGUAAAAAUGGAUAGAAUUUUUUAACAGAAGAAUCAAUUUGUUCUUUAAUCUAAUGUACAGGGACUAAUUUGCCUUUUUUUUAAUAAAGAGGACAAAAUACAAUCCAACUCUUAAUACAAAAGCCUCCAUAAUACUUUUACCUUGUAACAUCAUGUUUUCUAACAAAUAAAUUUAUUUAAAAUUUCAAACUUACCAUAGUCUCUGGUAUUUUUUAGUCCAAGGUAAUGGCCCGGUGUCGGAGUCCUAGGCCGUUUCCUACGCGACUGAAAAGUAGAAAAAAACAGCUUAAUAUUCAACAAGGCAGAUAUUGGGUUAGCCUCAUCAAAAUGGUUUAGGAUCUACAGCAUCAUGCAUCUUUGACCAAAACCAUAUCAUUAGAAAAAAUUAACAUGUUACACUGCAAGGGAAGAAACAAAAAACUUCAUUUGGAAGAUCACCUGGAAGGUGAAAAAAUGGCCAUUGAAAGAAAGGGAAGACGAAAAGCAUGAUACACACCCGACACAAGUAUUUCCUAUCAUAUAAAUGUCAUAUGUGAAUACCAUAAAAGCCUGAUUAUAAAGUUGUUGUAUUGGCCGUUGAUUAGUUGAGAGUUGAAAGUGAAUGCUGAGGUUGUAUAGUUGUUGGGCAAACUAGUUGCUAAUUUAGUUGAUCACAUGUAUUUUCAAGCUGUUUUAGCUGUGGCCAUUGAUCAAGCUUGUUUGACUUAAGUUGAGAUGGAUGAUCUCAUCAUCUUUGAUUGCUGCCAACAUAGCUGACACAAUACUGUUCUGAAUAUAGCCAGAAAACCUCCAGGUUAAGGAUGAUAAACGCACAAAACUAUGAAGUCUAAGCAACAAGGAUAGAAUCGGAUUACCCUCUCCACGGUUAUGUAUCGACCUUCUAAAAUUGAUUGGUUGAGAUACUUGAUGCAGCGGCUCGCAUCCUCAACGCUGUCCAUAGUAACAAAAGCAAAACCACGAGAUAUGCGAGUACGAGGUUCAACAACCAGGAAACACGAUGCCACCUUUAAAAUAUCGAGAUAGGACAUUAGUAAUAAAUAGUAAAAGAGAAAAACACCAGAAUUUUGAGUCCAUAACAGAAAACAAACCUUCCCCUCCUUGGAGAAAUGCUCUUCAAGGUCCCUCUCUGUGACCCUUUGAGAUAGACCGGUCACAUAAAGUGUGUUGCCAGGAUUUCCAGCUUCAACCCUGCGACAUCAAUCCAAAAGAAUAUUAAAACAAACAAACAAACUAGAGCAUUUGAGCCUCCAACAUUCACGUCCUUGAAAAGGGAAGUAAAGUCAAAAUCAAAACUAACCUGCCUCGACUUCUUGACCUUGACCUGGUUCAAAAGAAAAAAGAAAAACAUAAGCAAUCCACCAUAAAACAUAUUGUGGAACUGAAAUCAAGCAGGUGGACAACAAACCUGCCGCGACUAUGUGACCUGGACCUAUGCCUUGGCCUCGACCAGGAGCGGGAUCUUGACCUAGACCUAGACCUAGGUCUAGAUCUGGAUCGUGACCUUGACUGUUCUCUCCAUGGGGAGGGAGAAUGAGAAUUCCUAAUACAAGAAGCAAUUUAUGAGAUGAAAACGGAGAUUGAUGCAACCAUAACCAAACAACAGGCUUCCCAAAAAUGCGGAGCGCACAAUAUAAAACAAAUCCUCCAAAUCCUAAUAGAAAAGAAAGAAAAGGGAACGUAAUUUGCAGCAAAGAAAUUGAUAUUGAUUGAAUCCCUCACAAUGAAGCUCAUCAAAUCCCUAAAUCAUCCCGACUUAUUUAAUCUAGGGUUUCCCAAUAACUAAUCUUGAAACAAAUAACCAAUAAAACAAGCAAUAUAUCCACAGAUCAAAUGCCAAAAUACACCGAAGAGAUAUGAAGCUAACCUUUUACGAGGAGAAUCCGCCUGUUACAUAAUAAAAACGCAUUUAAAAUUUAAAUCAAAGAAUUCUACACCAGCUAAAUGAAACGCAAACAUAAUAGCAAAUAAACAAAAUAUGUGAACAAAAGAGAGAAAUAUCUUACCAUCUUGGCGAAGAGAAAGAGAACCCUAGAACGCGAGAAGGGAAAUUUGAAAUUUUAGGGUUUAUACGCGCAUGGAGUAAUAGCAAAGGUCAAAUAAAUGCCGCCCUCAUUAUAAUAAGAAAAUUGUGAAGGAUAUUUUAGGGGGAGAGAUUCAAUGCGGUUGACUUAAAAUAGAUCUUCUGUAUACCACCACCGUUUAAAACAAUUUUAAAAAAUGGCUUAAAUAUUCUAUAAAUCCCUAUACUCUUUGAAAUAUUAAAAUGUAGUCCUUAUAGUUUUCUGAUUUAAAAAUUAAAUUUCAAUUAUCAUGAACUAAAUUGAUAAAAAAUUUAAAUUUAACAAUAGUUUAUUAAUAAUGUUAUCAAGUAGAAUAAAUUUCAAAAAUUUGAAAAAUACAGAGACUGGAUAAAAAUAUAAGGUUUAAAAAAUAGACUUGAACAAGAAAAUUAAACUCGUUUUAAAUAUAUGUCGAACUUAAACUCUAAUAUUCAAGGUUUGAGUCUAACCCGAACAUUUUUAAUUAUAUAGUUUACUAUUUAUUUUAGUUUUAUAUAUCAUGCAAUUUUUAUCACAUAAAAUUAAUAUUAUAAUGUGAACAUUAAAAGUAUAUCCAUUUAUUUAUGUUUAAAAUUUUAAUAAAAAGUAUAUAUGUUAGAGUUUGUGUAACCUGAAUCCCGUCAUUUGUUGAAUAAAUAAAUACAGUGACAAAAUAAGGUCAUUUGUUGAAUAAAUAAAUAUAGUGACAAAAUAAGGAGGUCUGUAGGGGCAAGUGAUCGAGGGUCGUACCGCACAAGUUGAGCCCGUAUAGAACUGUACUUCUAUUAUUUGACUUUGAUUAGAACAUAAUUUUUCAAGUGUUACAUAUAUGUAGUCGAAACUCCUAUUAUUAUUAUCAACAUUUAUUAGAACAAUAUAAAAUUAUUAUUAAAUGUUGAAUUAAAAUAGUUUUUUUUUUAAGAAAAUGGAUAAGCCUAAAAUUAAUUAAAGUUAGUCCAUUUACAAACAAAAACUAAAUACACAAUGAAGAAAUGGAUGGCAAGAGUAAAAUCAAACAUACCCUUUAUUCAUUUGGUUAUGUUCAAGCUCUAAGAAUCUGCAACCACAUUGAUGCCAACUGAACUAGCCACAUGACGCACACUUCACACACAUGUACACACGUGCACAUACAUACAUACAUACAUACAUACAUACAUACAUACAUACAUACAACGACGCACAUUUUUUGCGAACUAAUACUUCAACAAAGAACUAAGAACAGAAGAAAUCUGCAAUUGAUACACAUGGUGAUUUACGUCGUAAGAAUGUCUGGAAGCUUAACCGAGUGAGUUCCGAUUACUUUGCCACCAACAUCUGGGAAAUUUUCAUAUCCAGGGAGUGGUUUCACUUUCCCGUCAAUAUCUACUUCCAAAGGAUACCUCAUAAGAUGGCCCUGCAAUGCCGAAUAAUCGGUAUCUGUAAAUUUCUUCCAGUUAUCUUCAGCAACUGUGUUUACUGUCUUCACACAUUCUAGAGUUUCUGGUUCCUUGAAACACUUACUUAGCUCACCAAGAUGCUCUGCCCAUAGGGACAUUCUAUACCCGUAUACCUGCAAAGUCUCGAGGCAGUGUUUUCGAGUCAUGUUUCGUUUUACAUGUAAAUCGAUCAAAAAACAAAAUGUGGAGCAUGUUUUUCAUGUUGCAAAAGGUUCCUAUAUUACCAGGGUAGUAUGCCACACUAAUGCUAUGAAUACAUUCCGGUUUCAAGACUCGAAAUUGAUGCCUUUUUCUUACCACGUAUGAACAACAGCAAUGAAAAAUGGUUCGAGGAUUAGUUUUCUUACCUGACCACGUGGAUGUUUUUUCUUUUCAGCCCAUGUAUAAUGUGGUUGAUAUGCAGCCAUAGCUAUCUCACUGUCUUUUGUACCAGCCAUGGAUCUUUGGUUAAUAUUGGCUGACCCUACAAUCACAUACUCAUCAUCUAUGACCAUUCCCUUUGCAUGCACGUAUAUCAUGAACCGACCGAACUUUGCAGAGUCAGAGACCUAUGAAAAACAUAAGCACAGCAUACUUAACAGUCAAGAAUCUCCCCACUGUUAAUCAUAUCCAAAACUAGAUAACUUUAAGUAAUUACCGAAGUUCCUUUUCCACCAAGCAUUUCCGGGGUGACCUCUUCCCUCUUACCAAGACAAUAGAAAUUGAGGUAAUCUUGAGGAUGCGAGUCCGUAAUCUGCAUGCUCUUGAGUUCUCGUGCGACGAUAUCAUACAUCAUUUGCAUUGUUUGAGACUGGAAAUAUACGGACCACAAUAAAGAUUAUGUCAAAAAAGUACCCCAAACCGAAAACUGAACAGAAAUAACAAAAAAAGAACACGACUAAGUACUAGAAACCAUCUUUUCUUAAAGUAUGCUAAAGGUCUCCCAUUACAUAUCAAGUCUAAGUUCAGAACCAUGGACUAGCAAGGAAGCUAUAUAUCAGAACAAGCAUAUGAUUACAGUUAAUACGAACCUGCCAGUAUAGAAUUUCCUGUACAGAAAGAGAUUUUGUAUCACCCUCGGGCCACAAAGGAAUAACGAUAUAUACCGCAAAUCUCUCUCUUGCUCGGAUUUUACUAGCAACCUUUAAUGCCAGCUCCAUUGGGAUCAGAUGAUCGGCCCCUGCAUCUUUAUACGAUGGCCAAGCAUACGAAGAUCCCAGAAAAUACUGAUUUUCGAUAUAUAUGUAAUGCUGAGCGGAUCUUAUUGCCUGUAUAUAAGCUGUUUGAAUGCUUUUUUCUAUGACCACAUUUUUUGAAACUAAAAGAUUCUGCAAAGAAUCAAAAUAGGCCAUUAAAAAUUUACAACAUAGCCAAUGUAUUACAUAGUAAGGUUCUUCAUGUCAAGGAAAAACCUGGUUCUCGGGUUUUCUCAUUGGUCUUGGAAAUCCUUUCACUGAUCCCGAGUCAAUGGAGCGGAAAAUCUGCGGAAGUAAAAGAAAAUUGAACCAACAUUACUAUUAAAGAACAACAUCAAAAGUGCAGUUAAUAGCAGGAAAAUUUUACACAACCUGAACAUCCCAGUUGUCACGAUCAUCGAUACUAAGAACAUGCAAUUUGGGGUCAUCUUCUGGAAUUAUUGUAGUGCCGUGGUCUGUUACAGCUAAGGAAGGACUUAGUAUCCAAGAGAUUCGUUCUAUCCUAAUCAAAGCAUCGUCAUUCGAUGGCAUUUUUCCUGCACAAAGUAGACAGAAAUCCUUCCACUUGGUCGAUUCCCUCCACCGCUGCUCGAAGUUGAUAAGAACAUCAUAUGCGGCAGGCCCUUCAAUUCUGGUGUGUAAAUCAUGCCAUGGUUGCCUAGGAGCCUUGAUUCCAGCCUUUAAAAUAUAGAGGAAAGUGGAAACAAGAUGAAGGAAGAUAAGAAAGUGCUAACUGCCAGCGCGCUUGAACCCACAUCCUCUUGUACUAACAACAAUGUAAAUGCCCACUGAGCUAAGACUCAGUCAACAUCUUGUUGGUGCUUUUAGUGGCAGCUUAAAUGGCACUUAAAUGACCGUAAAAUGAUAACAUGAUACUUUUGGGGUGAGAUCAUGUCCAUUACUUUUUCAUUCAUUAAUUUCUAAUUAUAUAAGCAUUAACAUUCAAAUGUGUAAUAUUGAAUAGUAAUGGAUACAAAAGUAAUGGAGGGGAACCAAAUAAGCACAGACUCCCCGGUAGUGAACAAAACCCUUACUAGUCGGAUUUGGGGAUGUUUAAAACUUUUGUCAUCCCACUAUCCAGUGUCAUAUUCUACAUAAGAUGCUUUAUAGGAAAGUGAUACAUGGUUUUAGUAAUUGCAAUUAACAUACACAAAAGAAUAUCUGAACAGAAGAAAUUAUUAAUAUCAAAACCGAGCAAUCACUUACGGAAAAAGUAGGAUUAUGAAAAUCAUCCUUGAAGAUGGUGUCAAGAUCAUGAAGUAUUCGAUGUUCAGGUGUAUCAUAGCGACCAUCACAGAGAUCGAUGCCUCCAACAAAUGCAGUAAUCUUUCGAUUAUUACCGGCUGCCUGUGUAUCAACAAGAGCGAACUUUUGAUGAUGCGUAAACAUGCUUCCAACAACCUGAUCAAAACCAUUGCAAAAACCAACCUCAGCAGCAUUAUAUAUGAACACUCACGACACGAUAAAAGUACUAUGGAAGCUCUUAUAUUAAGAGUUGGAUUGCAUUUUACUCCUACUCAGAAAAUAGGCAAAUUAGUCCCCAUAUGUUAAAUUAAAGAGCAAAUUGGUCAUUCUAUUAAAAAUUUCAUCCAUUUCUAUUAUUAAAAGUUGAUCUUUAUUCAUCAGAAUGAGACGCACAUGGCAUACCACGUAUAAUUGUCUAGUUAUUCUCUCAAUUAUAACAGUUUAUAAUAGUAGAAUGGAUGAAAUUCUUAACAAAAAUAACUAAUUUGCUCUUUGAUCUAAUAUAUAAUAACUAAUUUCUAUAUUUUUUGAGUAAAGGGGUAAAAAUAUAAUCUGACUCAUAAUAAAAGGGCCAUCAUGAUACUUUUACCCUCACAACAUAUACAGUAAAGAUAUUUAAUGGUAAAAGUACCAUAAAGGCCUUAUCGGAUUGCAUUUUGCCCCUGUAUUAAUUUUUAAAAGUAGAAAUGAAUGUAAUUUUUAACAGAAUAACUAAUUUGUUAUUUGAUCUAGCGUGCAAGGAUUAGUUUACCCAUUUUUUUGAGAAAAUGAGGUAAAAUACAAUCCGACUCAUAGUGCAAGGCAUAUACUUUUACCCAUGUUAACUCAUCAAAGAACAAGAAUGCACAAUAAAACCCUUGCCUUUUGUUUGAAAUAACCCAGCUUACUAGCAGCAUAUCGACCAGCUAGCACACACAUAACAGAUGAAUGCUUGAAAAACUUCAAAGUUUCUUCAUCAUGUGUCUGCAUUAGUCCCAUCUGCAACACCCCGCGGACAUGAAUCAACAUUAAUGUCAAAGACUCAUAGCUGAAACAAUAAAAAGAACAUGCUGGGAAACUUGUUACCUUUCUAAUACCAAAUUUAUCUGAAGUUUUAUCAUCCCAAACCAACAACAACACCCUAACCCCUUCUUCAGAUUUAUAUUUAAGCAAUUCACCAAGGUUUAAAUCCCCACCUCGAGGUAAUGGCCUAGUUGGUUCUCUAACAAGCUUAACCUUAUGAAAAACAGACCAACCAGCAAUGUAUAUCAUAUGGUGAGCUUCAGAUAUGGCAUAACAAAGAUCCUCCCAACACUUUCCUUGGUUAAAUACUUUACCAUCGUCUAGUUCUAUUUUGGGUAACAUACCGUCCGGCACAUGAGCGUCUUGGUAAAGCGUCACUUUGUUCCCUUUCCUCAUCGGGAAAUACGUGUGCCUCACGCCGCCUUGCUCCGGAUCGCUGGCGAGGCUCUGUUUAUACAAAGGGUUUUCCUCACAGGGCGUGAAUUUCAUGUCGAUGUGUAUUGCCGUAGUCGGCUUAGGAGGCUUCCCCGAUGAGCCAAUGAGUGGGAACCACCCAGUUAUACGCUCUCCGGUGGCGAUUUUUUGGGCGAGGAAUUUGGUAGUGCCAAUGACUUCAGCGCCUAACAGGUCGUCGUCUUUGACGUUAAUUUCUAGCUCAGUUAAAGGAUGAGCCAUGGGGAUUAUGAACCUCUCGUUCCAUUCCGGGUUAUCAGCGCUCUUCAACACGCGUGUACGAGCUAAAGUCGAUUGUGGCACCGUAAUGGUGACGUAAGGGUCGCUGGUCAUGAUUUUAUGGUGGUGGUGGACUUUACCAACUUCCCCUGGUUCUUGAGCAGCUGCUGCUUGUGAUGGAGCUUUACAGGUCUCACAAGUUAAGCAUUUACGAAGAUGAUUAGACACUAUAUCCAUGUUAGGCAGCUUCCGAGCUUCAAUAAUGGUUAAAUCCAAAUCACCGUAAAGGUAAAUCACCUGCUUCGACCCUUCUCCCUCCAUUUUCAAAGCACACACACACACAACAAAAAAAAAAACAGAACCGGAGAGAAGAACAGAGGACAAAAAGAAAGGUCCGGCGGCGGUGAGAGAUUUGGGUAUUAAACGAAAAUCCAAGACAUCGUUGAUUUCAGUGAAUUAAAAACUGGGUUGAGCUUGGUUUAAGCUUUCAUGAAGUUUAAGAACAUGAAAAAUGGCAACCAUGCAAAGCCUGCAAGGCUGCAAGCCUGCAACUGCAGUUACAGAGACGACAACUAAGCUACGCUAAAGGCUAAAGCUUUGCUUGCUUUUGCUGAUUAAACAAAUGGGAUUCCCUUAGUUAAAGCUUAUAACAAUCGUUUAUGAAAAUUAUCAAGUAAUUUAAGUCUUUUAAUUCAUCAAAUUAUGGAAUAUACAAUCCCCAAUAAAACGCUUGAAUGAAUGAUUAUGUCUUCUACAGAAAAACCAAUGAAUUUUUAGAUUACUAAAAGUUUGAUGUGACCGGAAACCAUUUUUUAUUCGGUGGGCACACACUCAUAUUGCUCAAUUUUGGAUAUUUUUUAGUGCAGCUACUGCGUUAAUACUUAAAAUGUCAAAUUCUGCUAUUAGGGUGCGUUUGGUUCGCUAUAUUGAAUUAGAGGUGUAUUGGAUUAGAGGUGUAAUAGUCAAUUCACUGUUUGGUUAAAUGUAAUGGAAUAGAGGCGUAAUAGUAAUCUUGUGUUUGGUUGAAUAGAAUAGAGGUGUAAUAGCAUAAUAGAAAAAACUAAAAUGACUAGAAUACCCUUAGCAUAAAAUUGUUUUGGUAAAUAAUUAUUGUUAUUGUUAUUUAAAUUUUAAAAAGAUUAUUAUUAUCAGUAAUAAAUAUUUUAAUCAUAUUUAAACAUAAUUAUAAUUAAAUAUAUUUUAAUUAAAAUAUAUAAUUUAAUAAAAUGCUUAUAAUUAGCAGAAAAUUAUUUUGGUAGAUGAUUAUUGUUAAUGUUAUUUAAAUUUUAAUAAGAUUAUUAUUAUCAGUAAUAAAUUCAUAUUUAAAUAUAAUUAUUAUUAAAUAUAUUUUAAUUAAAAUAUAUAAUUUAAUAAAAUUUUUAUAAUUAGCAGAAAUUACAUAUUGUUAUUUAAAUUUUAAUAAGAUUAUUAAUAUCAAUAAUAAAUAAUUUAAUCAUAUUUAAACAAAAUUAUUAUUAAAUACAUUAUAAUUUUGGUAUAUAAUUUAAUAAAAUUCUUAAUAAUUCAUAUUCUUAUAUGAAUUUACUCAAAUCAUAAUAUAUGAUACUAAAUGAAAAUUUGAAAUAAUUAAUAUUAAAUAUAUUUUAAUUAAAAUAUAUGAUUUAAUACAAUUUAAAAUAAUUAUUAUUAAAUAUAAUUUCAUAAAAUGUUCUUAUGAAUUUACUAAAAUCAAAAUAUAACUUGAGAAUUAUUUUCUGCAUAAACAUAAUUAACUUAUACUAAGAAAAAGUUAGAUGAAAAUGAAAUUGUACAUCAUAAUCCAUAUGUUAUAUAGUUUUACAACAUCAAAAAGUUUGAACAUUGAUAUUUAAUGGUGAGAAAGAAAUCUUCUGACCCAUUCCAAUCGGGCAACAGAAGGUAAACUAAAGAAAACGAUCAUUUGAGUUGGAUGAUCGGGAAUUUUACUCAAAGCAUCAUACCGCUGAUCGUCGGUACUGAUUUGAUCGCCAACGGCCUGGAUUUUUUCCCCCAACAAAGUGGCAGCCUCCUCAAAUGAAGAAUACACAUUAUCACGAGCAUCAGAUUUCUUCUUUCUCUUGUUUGAAUAUGAGGAACCCCCUUGGUCUCUAUCUCCACGCGGAUCUGUACCAGAAACAUCCAUGUCGUCUAAAGAAACGUCAGCUUCGCAGUCAUAGAAUGUGUUUCUCUCUUCAUUCAUAUCUGUAGUACGUUCAUCCUCAGCACGUAUUUCUUCAAGAACAUCAGCAGCUGUUUGAACGUCUUUCCCAGUCGCCCGAUCUCUUGCGUAUAUCGCAGUAAGCUGGUUGUAUAAAGGGAAAGAACGAUGUCUGAACUGAGAGGCUUCUUUGUGACUCUAAAAAAAAUGAGGAAAUCAUAUUAGUUAUAAGUUUUGUAAAAAAACAAAUAAAUACUUGAAAUACAUUUUACCUUUACAUAGGAUUCCCAAACUGCAUCUUCAGCAACAACGAGCUGCCUAUGCUCGUCCCAACCAAAACCACUGUUGUUUUGGCCAUUAAGCAUGUCGUAGACGACUGACCAUUCCUUUUUUAGGCACCUAAUCCGAGAUUCAAUAUUUGGUUUCGCCUUCAACAUUGCUCUUGGUAAAGCCUUUUCUAGCAUUUUCUCUAGCUCGUUCAAAUAACCGACUUUGAACCCGGUAUCAGCAUUAAAUGUUCCUACAUUGUGCAAAUCCACCAUGCAAGAAACCAAGGCUGCAUCCUCCUCUGGAACCCAUUUUCUUUUGCUUCCUCGAGAAGCUUGAGAAGAAGCACCCGUUGGUGGAACACCUGACAUAUUGUUCUUAAAAAAAACAAACAAAUUAACAUUAUUUACUAUUUUGAAUAUCAUUUAAUUGUUGGGUGAACAGUUUAUAAUAUUAUAUCGGUAGUUCAAUACUAAAUUUAAAUUUAUAACACAUGCUUAAUGAAGAGAUAAUUACAUUAUAAUUCAACAAAGUUUCAUAAAGUUUCAUAAAUACCACCAAAGUUUCACAAAGUUUAUACAUAAAAAAACAUCAACAAAUCAAUUCAAACUGAAUUUGUCCCUAAACCUAACUAAUUUCUAGAUGCUUGCCAUUCAUCGAACAUUUGGUUGGCUAGUUCCAUCUUCCAAGUUGCCCAAGCAUCCAAUGAUGAAUAUUUGUGAUAUUCGGUUCAUCGUCAUCCACCACAUUAGUAGGUAAUCCUUCUCCCACCUCCGCUUCAAUAGGAUCAAUACUCAUAUGAGUUCGAAUAAAAUUAUGGAGCAAACAACAUGCAAUAAUAAUUCUAUUGUGCACCCUUACAGGAUAAAACGAUGGACUCCUAAGUAUUCCCCAUCUAAGUUUUAAUAAGCCAAAGCAUCUUUCAAUGACAUUACGUGCUGAGGCAUGUUUCAUAUUAAAAACUCUUGCGGAGAACUUGGCUGAUAACCCUGACGCCACUCGUUCAGAUGAUAUCGCUGUCCUCUAAAUGGUGCAAGAAAUCCCUCACAAUUUGUGUAUCCAGUAUCAACUAGAUAAUAACAACCUAUAAAAUAAAUUGGCUAAAAAAUGAUUAAUUCAGCAAACAAAGUUUGAUCUUAAUGAGUAAUUCAAAUUCCUCUAAGUAUACACUGUACCAUGAGGAACUUUAAGUCCAUGUCUUCUACUGAUGGCAUCUCGGAGCACCCGUCCAUCGGCAACUGAACCUUCCCAACCAGGAAGAACAUAAACAAAUUGCAUAUCAGGUGUACAAACACCUAGCAUAUUUGUUGCUAUGUCACCUUUUCGGGUUCGAUAUCUAGGUUUAUCAGCUGUUGGCACCCUAAUCUUUAUGUGGGUUCCAUCAAGAGCACCUAAGCAAUUCUAUAUCACAUGAUAUAAAACCUUGUGUUAGAAUACUAAUUUAAAUCUAAGUCAACUAAAUGUUGUACAAGCUAUAUCUAAAACUCAGUCUACUACCUUAAACCAUUUCCACCUUGUGUCAGAAGAGUCGGCUGUAAUUGGCUCCGGCUUUUUAAAUAAGACAUCUUGUAAGCGCAUGACAGCAUCUAAAACACUAUGAAAUGCUCUGCUUAAGUUUCCCCGGACCUUCUAAAGUGAUGCUUGAUAACUCGAUUUUUCAGGUGAUGGGAGAUGAUAUGUAAAAACAUUGCUACUUGCUCAUCAACAAGCAUGAACCUUGACGACUUCAAUCCCCCUAUCGAUUCUAACAUCUCACAUAAUUUACAAAAGGCAGUUCUAUUCAUCCUAACUUGUUCAAUACAAGUCUCGUCACUAGCAUAUACAAGCCUUUUCACAUAAUCUCGUUUUGCAUAAAAAUCUAAGGUGUAGGACCUAAUCCUUGGUUGAUAAGUCUGUAGGCUAAGGCUGGCACCCAUUCUAAACAAGAACCAAAUCGCAAUUCUACAGAUUUCCAACCAUAAUGUCAAAGCAAGACCAAUUCUUUUACGCCUCACACUUUGUGCAAUUAAAGGCAGACGAGCCAUUACUGCAACAUAUUAAAAUUAUAACACACACUAUCAAUGAAUUGAAGUUGCAAUUACACAUUAUAAAAUAAAAAUAAACAAUACAAAUUUAGAACACACGAAGCAAAAUAGUUGAUACUAAAUGAUAUCGUUGCAACUUUAAUUUCAUUUCUUUAUGAAUCACCCAAACAAUAAAGAAAUUAUAAAGCAUGUAUAAUUGACCUAAAAUUAAUUGUUGGUGUAUGUAUAAUUGACCUAAAAUUACUUGUUGGUUUAAUGUUAUUGUCCCUAAAAAACAUUGUUUGUGUAUGUAUAAUUGUUGGUUUAAUGUUAUUUACCCUAAAAAACAUUGUUGGUGUAUGUAUAAUUGUUGGUUUAAUGUUAUUUACCCUAAAAAACAUUGUUGGUGUAUGUAUAAUCUUUUAAUUUUACGUAUAUUUUAGAUAUAUAUGAUAAUUUUUAUUAAUUAAUAUAAAAAUAUAAUUCUCUCCACAAAAAAUUAUAUCAACAUUAAUUCUUAACAAACAGGUUUCAUGUUUAUUAUUAAUUUCAAAUUAUUAACAUUAAAGAUAAAAAUUAUAAUAAUUAUAUCAACAUUAAUACUUAACAAACAGGUUUCUUGUUUAUUAUUAAUUUCAAAUUAUUAAUAUUAAAGAUAAAAAUUAUAAUAAUUACAAUUAUAUUUAUGUUAUUAAUAAUGUUCUCAUUAUUAGUAUCAUAAUAUUUAUAAUUUAAUUAAACAUCGAAUUUAUAAUAAAUUACCUGUACUAUUUUAAAUAAUAACAACCUUUGCCGCAUGAAGAAUUUUUUUUGAUAGAUUAGGUCACAAGCCCCAUUUUUGGUUUAAUUAUUCUUUCGUCUCUAUAUUUUUUACACAUUUAAAAUUUAAUUUAUUUAUUUAUAAUUUUAAAAAUUUAAUCCUUUUACUUUGUUAAAUUGGAUUAAGUGACAAUUUUAACUUAAAAUUGCUCUCAUGACAAAUAUUAUACAAGUAAUAAACUAGGUAAGCAAAUCUUAAGAUUGUUAAAUAUGAAUAAAAAUAAUAAUCGGAUGGAGUAUUUAUUUUUUAAACUCGUUAAAUUAUUUGACUAAAAAUAGUAAUCGAUAAAUAAUUUAAAUACCAAUGUAAAAAAAAUUAGAGACAAAAGUAAACGAAAUUAAUAUGGUUUGAGCGAUAGUGACGUAAACCAUAAUAAAAAGAGAGCAAUUAAUCACAUUAAAUUAGCUUACUUUGGUCGGUGAAAUGUCAUAUAAAGAAAGAUAUAAUUAUAAUUUAGCUUUGGUAAAUAGAUUACAAACUUUCACCCUAAAACAUCAUGAAGGGCAUGAAAAGUGAUGCUUGAAAGGUAAGGUAUUUUAAUGAAAUUAAUUACUUGCUUUUACAAGUUUUUUCAAUAACAUCAGCAUUUUUUUGAAAGCAAAUGAGGAAAGCCUAUUUUGAAUGCUAUUUGAAACUGAAAGUAAUUACUUGCUUGUUUUAAUGGCUGACUUUUUCCUUUGUAUUAUCAUGGCCUAUGUUCAAAACACAUGCUCUUCAAAUCCUAUACUCGUCCCAAUCAAGAACAAAUCAAAAUUUUCCAGCAGAGAAGGUCCAAAAGAACUAAAAUAACAAAUUCUAUUGACUAACAAAUCAAGAACAAGGUCCAGCAGACUAAAAUAACAUUUCAUCUUCCACAACAGUUUCAUCUUAUACUCACUAACAAACUAAAAUAACAUUUUCCAGCAGACUAUCAAAACAAUGUCCAGAACAAACCAACAAAAUCUUGUGAUAUUACUAGUAGAAAAUACAUAAUUAUGUUUAAUAAAUGAUCCAAACACAAUGUACUUUGAUAAGUUCAAAAACCAACAAUAGAACUUAAUGACUGUAACAAGUUGGUAAAAGGUAGUUGUAGGGAAUUUUGCAAAAAUAUUAUUGCUUUUUAAAAAGUUCCGAUGAAACAUUAGAAGUUUGACUAUAGAAUUCAGAACUUUGGACCUACAAUUAAACAUAAACAUAUAGAUAGCUUGGUUAGAAGAAAAAAAUCAUAUUACACUGAUUGGAAAAUCCAACUCAUCAUUGCUUUUCUGUUUAUCAAAGGCUAAAAAUAUCAAAUUUUAUUCGUAAUUUACAACAAAGUAGUUAUAUACAUAUGACUCAAAUUCAUAUCUUGCCCAAAUUCAUAGAUUAAAACACAAAAAGAAAAUAGAAAUUCUUACUCGUAUCAAACAUCCUAUUCAAUCAAUAACAAGCUGUCAAAUUCCAAAAUGUUUAAUAUCUUAAAAAAAUCAUAUUUCUGUUCAUCCUAAUUAACUAUUUAGAAAAACUGGAAUACAUGAAAGACCUCUAAGUACCAGUAUCAGUAUCUUCACCCCUAAACCCCAAAGCCAGACUACACAAAUUGCAUCUAACAGCUUCUAGUUUCACUGAUCUGCACUCAGCAUGAAAUUCAAUAUUCUUAACAUUAUAAAUUGUUUUGAACAUUCGUUAUCAUCUAACAUUUUCAUCUUACCUAUUUUUGCUACUUUCAGAGGACCAAAUUACAACAGAACAAACAAACAAAAGAACUCGAACUGCAGAAAUCUUACCUAUUUUUGCUACUUUCAGAGGACCAAAAGAACUCAAUGAUCUUACCUAUUUUUGCUACUCAGUUCAGGCACUUAAACAAACAAACAUUGGAAGAAAUCUCAUUCGCGGUUUUGGAGAUCAGAAAAGGACUCGAAAAUUACAACAGAACAAACAGAAAUCGAAGAUUAGCAGAGAAGAGAGAACAACUUCGAACGGCAUGCAUUUCUUAAGCCUAACCAACAACAGAAAACACAUUUCAAUUCAACAUGCAAUACAAACAGAAUAAAAUUGGCUAAAACUAACCUAUUAGAAAAUCGGGGCACAAUGAAGAAGAACCUGAAAAAAGCAAAAGGGGAAACCGAUUAGAUAAAAACAAUAGAUCAUAUUUACCUCGAAAGUAUUGGUUUUCAUCUACAAUAGCAAAGGAUAUUAAUCUAUCGGGAAACAUAGACUAACCGAUGACGCAAAUCGGCAGAAACUGUGAGCAAAUCGGCCGAAAUAGAAAAGAAAAUAAUCGGGGGAGCAAAUCGGCAGAAAAGGGAAGAAAAUAAUACUGGGAAAAAGCAAUGAAACAAGGAAGCAAUUCGGAUGAAGGUGGGAAACGGAAGAGAAACAGAGGGGAUUGAUUAGGGGUAAAAGAGGGAAGGUUUAGGGUAGGGUCAUCUAAUCUGGGAAGAAGGGGGGGAAUAGAAAUCGGUGCUUUUCACCGAUUAGGGAAGUAAGGGGAUACACGCGUAUUAGCAAUACGCUCAACCAAACGGCGUCUUAGAUUGGUAUUAGGUGGGCCCCACCGAUUAGGGGUGUAUUGGCUUAGCCAAUACACCAAACCAAACAAGCUCUUAGUGUUUAUACCAUGCGAAUAUUAUGAAUUUAGUCCUUUUUCUUUAAAAUUUAUUAUGACUAAAAUAUAUAAAUUCUAUACUAUAAAAAAUCCAAAUUAAUUAAAUUUUAAUUAUACUUUUAUUAAAUUUAAUUAUUUGAAAUAAUUUAAUUCAAACGUUAUAUAAUUUAACCCAAAAUUAUUUGCUACAACUUUAUUGGGAAGUCCUUUAAUUUUUAUAUAAAUGAUACAAAUUUACCAACAUCAAUACAUAUCCAAAUAUGUCUCAAUCCCUAUCAAACACUUAUGUUUCUAUUUAAAAAUAUCCAUUUGAGAUUCAAACCUCUAUUGAAUACAAUAAUUUAUUUUAUAGACCAUUCCCGUCACAUUAUUCAUGAUUCAUUUCUAAUUUAAACAUUAAAUCUUAAACCCCAAACCUAAACCUCAAACCUAAUCUAAUUCAUGGUCUAAGGUUCGAGAUUUAAAGUUUAGUGUUUGAGAUUCAGGAUUCGGAGUUUAGAUUCGUAUUCAGGUUCGGGGUUCGGAGUAAAAGAAAUUACUAAAAUUAUGUAUCAAUGAUAUGAAAAAAAUUGUUGAAAUAUCAUUAAAUGAUUAGAAAGGAAUCGUGGAUGAUACGGUAGAAAGAGUUUAUAAAAUAAUUUUUCAUUCUUUAUAUUAAGCUCAAAAUCCGUUCUGAUGAGAGCAGUAGGAUUAGUUUUAAUAAAAUUAAAUGUUAAAAUUAAAAAAAAUUAAUGAUUCAAUUGAUUCAACCUUUUAUGGUUUUUAUAUAUUUUUAUAUUUUUAUUUAUUAUUAAAUUAAUAAUUAAUAAUCUGAUAAAUUGGAUGAGGAUAAAUAUAAAACUAGUGUUGAACCAAUGAUGAAAAGUGGUGGAUGAGGAUUGAGGGUUCACUAUCAUGAAUUUAUUUAUUAUUGUCUUCCACCAAUUAAUAACUGAUCAUUAAUGGAAUAUCUGUGGAGCCUACUUUCCACCCAACAAAAUAUCUGGUAAGUUUUGUGGUCAGAAUUUUUACAAAGAUUCUUUUACCAUACUUUUGUCUCUUUCAUUAUUUUAUCUCUACAUUGGGCUUCAACUUUUCAUUUUAUUCAAUUUAGUCCUUAAUUUUUUCUUGAAAAUUCUAAAGUUCAUGCUCCAAUGUCUCAAUAUGAUAACAAUUGUUAAUUUUAGAGACUAACUUGGAUAAUAAUAAAAAAUCAAAUCCUAAUGUUGAAAUAGUUGUCUUAUUCAGCCCUAAUGUGGAAAUAAUUAAUAAGUUCACGAUCUAACUUAAACUAAAAAAAUUUAGCGAAUCUAGAAACUGUUUUAGUGGGGUUAAAAUUAAGUUAUAAAAUUUUAUGAGGUUAAAAUAUAAUUUAUUAUGUAUUAAUUUAUAAUUUUAUGAUUUUAAAAAAAUUAAACAUAAAGGGACAAAAUGCAAUUUUUCUGUAUUUAUAUUUACUUAAAAAUAUUAUAAUUUAUAUAAGGAUUAAAAUGUAGUUUUUUUUUUAAUUUUUAAGGAACUAAAGUUCUUGCUUGCCUCACCUCACAUUCGCCCUUAAAAUGAAAUCGAAGAGAGACUGAGGGUGGGUUUGGAUGGGCGAUGCGUUUACCUGUGGUUCGUGUAACAACAGUGGUGGCAGUGAGAUUAGAUGUUAUAGUAACACUAUAGCAUGAGACAAUAAGUAAGCUAAACGCACCGUACCACAUCUCAUCGCUCAUCCAAACCCACAUUGAACCAAAAUUUUCACUAUUCAAGGAUUAAGUUUCUUUUAAAAUGAGAGAAAAGAAAAAGAACAUUGAUACAUAACAUUUAAAUAAAUAUAUAUAAUAUCUAAUUUUAAUUAAUAUACAACAGCACGACUAGCGCAUUUCAAACCCAAGUCAUACUUAGGGUGGUGAACACUCUGGUCAUCUGCCCAACACACGGGGUACAUAAUUCAAAUUAUUUUAAUUGAGUAUUUGAAAUAUUAUUAUCGUAUCAAUCGAGUAUUUUCAUCAGUCUAAACAUUAAAUUAGACAUUAAAUGUCAGCUUAAAUUUGAUAUCGAGAAUAUUUAAAGCAAAUGGAUCAAAAUGUAAAUAUGUAUGUGAACAAUUUAGAUUUGACGUGUUAAAAAAAAAUCCUCCCAACGUAACAUUUUUUUCGUUACACGUCAGAUUCAAAAUGUUCAUACUAUAUACAUUUUUACAAAUUGAUCCACUAUUAUAAAUAUGCUCUACAUCAUAUUAGUGCUAAUAUUUAAUGUCAAAUCGAAUGAUUAAACUAACAAAAUGAUAUAAUCGAUACAAUACUAUAUUUUCAGAACUCAAUUAAAAUAUUUUGAAGGUUGAUAUUAAUUUAGAAUCUGGGUGAUAGUUUAGAACUAUUGAUGCAAUUAACCCAAAAAAUAUUGGGUAUUGCCGUAAAGAAACUAGAAUAGCAGUCACGGAGUUAUUGUUUUUUGGAGGGAUAAAUGCAAGCUUUAGUCCCUGGAUUUAGCAAAUUUUCACACCUUGGUUUAUUCAUAUCAAUUCUAAAACUUGGCAGCUUUUUUCAAUUUGUUCUCUGAACUUGGAUUCUGUUAAGGUACGAUGAUGUGGCACUAUGAGAUUGCGACACACCAUCACCAGGAAUUUUAAAGGAAUUAAUUUUUUUUUUGAAACUGUUUUAACAUAAUCCAAAUUUAGGGAUCAAAUUGAAAAAAUUUUCUCGGGACAAAAGGAAAGGACCAAAUUAAAGAAAACUGACAAAUUCAGGGACUAAAUAUUAUUUUACCCCUUCCUUCAACUACUCCGAACCACCCUUGAUAAAUCCCACUACUGUCUUCAACCUCUCUUCCUUUUAACUCCCUUUUCUUCACUUGUCGUCCAAUCAAAAUCCGAUAAAGUGCUACGUACGUUAUUAAAUCGUCUCAUUUGCAGAAGCGAAGGAGCUGAUCUUUCAUCAUCAUCAUCAUCUUCUUCUUCAACCGCAGAAACUUCAUAAUCAUCAAUUAACGUAUGAUGAUUAUUAUGGCAAAGUUUUAUCCUUUUUAAAACUUUGCUUUUGAUUUGCUCUGCAAAUGCUUGUGAAGGCCUUGAAGAAGAAGAAGAAGAAGAACGUUGUUUGAGUUGCUUCAAGCUACGUAUUUUUUUCUUCUUUAUAAUUUGACCCAUGCAUGAAACUUUCGGUGACACAGGUUCACGUAAUUCGAAACUCGCAUUCCUGGGUAUUAAAGGUACCGUAUGACCGGAAAUUCGUUUACCGCCGGUGAUAACCGGUGGGCUUAACCGGAAUGUGAGAAUGAUUUUGCUCCUGUGUUUCACCGGUUUCACCAUUGGGAUUGUAAAUCGUCACCGUCGGAAUAUGAGUAGGAAACAAGGGUUUGUUGAUCUAAGAAAAAUGAAAUGAUUUUAUGGCUUUGAACAUAGCUUCAUUGCCGGCCAUAACUUCGCCAUAUUUCUUGAUUGGCCGUCACUGUCGGUCGGCCGUUCAUUUGAUAUUGUAUUUUCAUGUAUUACACUUGUAGGGUGGAGUUAAUUUUAGAUAGAUUUAAGUUAAAUUGGAUUUGUUUUUGUUUUUAAUUUUGUUUAAUUUUAGAUAGUCUUAACUUAAAUCAGAUUCAUUUUUCGAGAACUUCAUUAAUAAGCAAAACAAAAAUUCAGAAUUAGGUAUCUUCAAGAAGAAGAAAAAGUUCCAAAGACAAGAUAAAUAUUAAAAAGAAGACUUUAAUAGUAGACACAAUCGAAUCACGAAACAAACUCAGACAAAUUACAAGGACAUGAGAAGCUUGCAAAGUUGACAACUUAAAUUUUCCAGACAAAAUCUUUCCACCUUUGCCAUUUGUGCCAAGGCUUCAUCCGUAAUUGAAUCUAUAUUAGUUUUAAAAUUCAUGAUGAUUCUAGUUUGUCAUUUUAAAAUUCCGAGUUUUCAAGUUGAUUCAUUAUUGUUAUACGUCGGUUGAGACAGGUACCAGCUCCAUUUUGUACUGUUCAGCUGGUUACUCAUAACCGACAACGUCAACUUGUUGAACUCUCCAUAAGACCAUCCUCUUUUAGCAGUUGACUUGCAUCCUUUAAAAAGAGAUCAUCUAGGAUCACCAUCUUUAUUGCCUUAAACCCUUUACCUACAUACUCAACACCCUAUUGCCUUGUCUCCCUCCUCCUUUUAACUCUACGUCUCCUCCUUUAUCUCCCCUAAUUGAACUCCAAUGUCAACACUUAUAGAUAAUUUCGAAUGUUGGCCACUUGUUCAUAUAAUGUGAUUCUUAUGUCAAAUUCCAAUCAUUUCGACGAAAUUCGAGUUCAAAUUCAUAAUAAAAGGAGAGUUUAUUUAUUUUUCAUUCAUCAUCGAAUCAAAUCAAAAUAAUCAAGUCUAUCUUUAUUAACGAGAUUGAUAUAACAAUAAAAUAUGCUUAAAAUUAACGUUGAAAAUUAUAAGUAAAUUCCCGUGCUUACAACAUGCGAAUAUGCUUUAGAAAAUGUCAAUUUUAUGAGCUAACUACUACCACAAAAGAACAAUUUAACCUUACAAAAAUGAAAAAAAAAAGUUCAAGAAGUUAUAAAAUUACAUGCUUUUUUCCAAUAUAUCUUUUUACUAAGAGAUUCACCAUAUGUUGUUCACUGUUUCGGCUAACAAAGGAAAAGUAUAUGCCACAUCACCUGCAAACUCAAGAAAAUGCCAAGUCAACCAUCAUUCAUUUAUAUCAUUACAUUACAUGCCGAUACAUCUCUUCAUGGGCCGCAUCAUCUUUGAAAUAUGAGAAUUCGGACAAAAUUACAGGAAAACGAGCUUAGACAAAAAAAAAAAUCAAAUCGUUUAAAAUAUAAGCCAAGCUUGGGUUGAAACAUUCAAGACCCAAGCUUAGCUCAACCCAGCCCAUUUUAUAUUUAUAUAUUAUGUAAUUUAAAUCAGAUAAAAUUAAAUAUAUCAUAAUACAAUACCAUAUAAACAUUAAAAAAUAUGUUUUUUUUUUAAUUAUCAGUGGACAUAAAACAAACAUAUUUCAAGCCAAAUUGGGCUUGGCAAAAUAUUAAGUUCAUAUCUCAGGUCGGACUGAACUUGGACAAACAUAAAAUGUACUAAUAUCAUAUAUAGUCCAGCCUAUGAACAAUUUUACAGGCUGACACCUAUAUGAAUACAAUGCUCAAGAAAAUAAAAAUCUUCUCACCAUUUUCACCCAAGACUGUUGCAUAAAUACCCAGACUAUGUUCGGAGGUGUGAUUGAUUCAAUAUUUGCGUAAUAAAGAAAAAUGGCUCGAAGGUGACCCUCUCCCUGAGAUUUUUAAAAUCUUUUGGAAAUUCAAAGAGAAGCCUAAUGGAAACCGAUAAAAUGGAAGAGUCGUUACUGCAAUUCUAAAACAAACUGCAACAAAUUUACGAGUUAAAGAUGAAACAAACCUUGGUUUUCUCGAGCUUUUCAAAAACGGCGUGCCUUAUCAUUAACUCCUGUCAUGUUUUCCAUCUUUAGCUGCCCGAUCAUCCUUGUUGCUUGGAGUGUACUGACCAGUUGAGGAUGGUGAAUACCCUGGAGCACUAGGGGAGUACCCAGCACUUGGACUGUAUGGAAGAUUGGAAAUAUGAAAACACGAAAAUAGAACAAUUUUUUUAGAUUCAACAUUUGAGUCUCUGCUUACCUGUACUGUGGCGAACUUGGGCUGUAGUCAGGAUUGCCUCCAGAAUUAUAUGGGCUGGUUUCAUACAUACAAAAUAGAUAACAGAUUAAAAGUCGUUUAUAACAAAUUCGGUAUGUAAGUACUGUAAGUGGAAGUUUUAAGAUGAAAAGUUACCUGCUAGGACUGUAGGUUGGGUUUGAAGGGGAAUAAGAUGGAGAAGUAGGCGAAUGAGAUGGCGACGUCGGGCUGUAAUACAAAAAAUAUAUGAUUGAAACGAAACCGAAGUUACACAGCAUGAGUAUAAAUUAACUGAAACCGAGAAGAGGGUACAGACAACAAUAGCAGCGCAGUCACACAAUCCAAGAGUUCUAAGCAACAAACAGAUAAGUGAUUUAGUCUACCAUGGUUUACCUAUAAUUCGGUGAUGUUGGACUGUAAGGACUGGAAGGAGACAACCUUGGACUGCUUGGUGAGUAUGCUAGAGAUGGACUGUACUUGGCUGAUUGCGGAUUGUAACUUGGAGAGGUAGGGCUAUAGGUAGGUGACGUGGGACCGUAACUUGGUGAGGUCGGACUGUACCCAGGAGAAGUGGGGCUAUAUGCUGGGGAAGUAGGGCUGUAUGAUGGAGAUGUAGGGCUAUAGGAGGGUGAGGUUGGGCUGUAAGAAGGAGAUGUCGGACUGUAUGAUGGCGAUGUUGGGCUGUAUGAUGGAGACGUGGGGCUGUAUGCAGGUGAAGUUGGGCUAUAUGCCGGUGAAGUAGGGCUGUAGCUUGGUGAAGUUGGACUAUAACUUGGUGAAGUAGGACUGUAACUUGGAGACGUAGGGCUGUAGCUUGGAGACGUAGGGCUGUAGCUUGGAGAGGUAGGGCUAUAGCUCGGUGAGGUUGGAGAAUAAGAGGGACUUGUAGGUGAGUAGGCUGGACUUGUUGGGCUGUAACCUGGUGAACUAGGACUGUAAGUAGGUGAUGUGGGGCUGUAACCAGGCGAGGUAGGACUGUAGCCAGGAGAUGUAGGGCUGUAACCAGGCGAGGUAGGACUGUAGCCAGGAGAUGAAGGACUGUAGCCAGGAGAUGAUGGGCUGUAACCAGGGGAUGACGUGGGAGAGAAUGCCAUCCCACCAACAUAAGGUGAGAACUGAGCAUCCGAAAUGGGAGAGAGACGGAGAUUUGGGCUCAGCAAGUAACUUGGAGACAUCAUGCCUUCAUGAUAUGGAGUUCCUGAUACUGGAGAUCGA
This 62336-nucleotide long non-coding RNA is filed under the name Gossypium barbadense (sea-island cotton). The record is from RNAcentral. Lineage: Eukaryota; Viridiplantae; Streptophyta; Magnoliopsida; Malvales; Malvaceae.